CCUUAUAUACAUGAUAAAGAUUCACCGACGCCGAACCAUAUUAAUUUAAAUUAGUUUUCAACUGAGAUUUGAAUUUUGAAAUUACAUACAAAAACACGCCCUUUUUUUUUUAAAUACUAAUAAUAAAAUAUUUCAUUUUUCAUCUAUUACAACAAACACACCCGAUUUAAAAAUAAUAAUAAUAAUGCUAACAAUAAAAUAUUUCAUUCGUCCCCUGUUGAGUCGUAGUAAAAAAGUCUUUUCCAAUCAAAAUUCCUUUCCCAAUCUAUUUUAACGCAAGGUAUAUGGGUUAACAAAUCCCAAUAUUGUCCUCCAUCCUUUCUGCACUUCUCUUCUAUCAACGGACAUCCCGAGAUCCAUAAUUGCAAAAGUGAGGAAGGCAGGCCCUUCUCCGGAAAGUAUUUGAGCUUGGGACAACCCGAGAGUGUCAAUGAAGUGAGGUUUUGAAGAUCAACAAUUGAAGAAGAUAGGCGUUCCAGAUUUGGAAAUUUAUAAAUGCUCAGAGAUGUUAGAGAGGCAGGAAGAGGAAGCGCGGUCCCUAAUCUUUUGUCCUCUAGUGGAAAUGACACCGUGUCGUCAUCGCAUCCUCCGAUUCUAAGUUCUCGCAGAGAGGAGAAUCUGUGAAAUCCCCAGCCCCGCUCAAUCAUUGACUUCCAAAUCUCCAUAUUACCCCGAAUAUCAAGUGACUGAAGGUUGGUGGGAAGGCCAUCUUCUUCUUCAAGGCUUGGAAGCGCACCUCCUAUUCCUAUUGUUAAGUGUUGAAGAGAAGUCAGAUUGUGCAAUCCCUUGGGUAAGGCCUCUAGUCUCUCACAAUUAAAUAUCUUCAGCCUCGUGAGUUUCGUACAAGGCAAUCCCCCUUGGGGAAAGGACACCAGAUUUUCACAAUUAUAAAUACUGAUUGUUUCAAGAGAUGUGUUGUUGUCCAACAUUUCUGCUAUUGACUCCAGCUUUGAACAUCCAUAAACAAAAAGGGACUUAAGAGACGGAGGUAGAUUGCCAACUUCAAGGGAUUCAAGCGUGGCAAGUAACUCGUUUUUUGAAAAUAUACAUGUCAGUGAUGGACAAUCCCAAAUAGUUAAGUCCUCAAGAAGAUAUGACGUGUACCUUCUGCUGCUGCUGCUCUGGAUGCCCUCUUCCACUGUCAAAGUCCUUAUAUUAUCGCAACGCCAGAUCGUCAACUGCUUAAGGCUCGGUGGUAGCUGGACUUCAGCAAUAUAUGUCAACGAACCGCAAUACUGAAUAUGCAAGAUUUCGAGAGACGAAUUGGUGUCGCACAUCCAUGCCUCUGGUAACGAUUUCAGUGCAUCACAAGAACUAAUCCGAAUUUUCUUCAACUUGGAAGGCAGAGCAACCUCAGGAAAGGAAACAAGGGAACUGCACUUGCAGAUUUCUAUCUCUCUCAAGGAACAGAGGCUGAGCGAUGAUUGUGGUAGCUUCACAAGGCCUUCGCAAUUACUCAAUCUUAGAUAUUCAAGUCUGCAUGACAACUCGCAGAGCUGCUGUUGUUGGUCUUUCUCUUCCUCCUCCACCAAGGAUUGAAGUUUGGGACAGCUGUCAAUCGUCAGUCGUUUGAGAGAGCAAAUGUCUUGCAGCAAUUCGUUAUGACUCUUCCAUAUAUCUGUUUCAUUUUUAAUAUUAUUUAUCUCCAAUUCUUCCAGUUUUGGUAUUCGCGGCUUCAAUGGCCCUGCGAGAAACACUUGAUUUGAUGUAUCUCUACAAACCACUGAAUUCUGUAAGCCGAGAUGAUCAGUUGCACUUCUCCCCACAACCUUUUUACAUCCACUUACCAAUUUGCAAAGAGCUGGAAGACUCGUAAUUGAAAUUGACAAUUCUUCGCAUUCUCGAAUAACAAGCAUCUGCAAUGCAGGAAGGUGCUUUGGAAAUGCUCCUUGCAGUUUAGAACAUCUUAAAAUGUGAAGCUCUCUCAAUUUAGGAAACUCUUCAACUCCCUGACUGGAUCCAUGAGGAAUCCAGUCUUCCCAUUCUUGCAUGUUUUCAAAACAAAGAGUCUCCAAGCAUGGAAAUGGAAUUGGAGAGUCAUCCCCAUAGAACUCUGAACCCAAUCUCUUUACUCUACUCAUUCCACGCACUGUAAGAUGCUUUAGAGAGGGCAGUUGCCCGACUGACGGCAGGGCAGUACACAUGCCGCAAUCUUCAAAUUUAAGUGUUACUAAAUUUGAGAAUGAUGAAUCUCCUAACCAUGUUGGAAAUUUUGUACCUUCAUAGCCACAGACACCAAAUUGUUCCAGAUUUUUAUGGGGUUUGAGCAUGUCAAGCACACCCAUUUCAGUUUCUGCCUCCCUUGAAGAUGAACCAUCGGUACUGCAUGUCCAUCGAAGCAAUAAUUCUCUAAGAUUCUCCUUUCCAUCCAACCGAGCCUCCUUUGCAUCACCAAUGUCUUUUACAUUCUCUAAUUUUGAAAUUUCAAGUGCCCCACGAAGAUGCAUCAACAACUUUAGCUCUGAUAACCCCGAACCACUGUCUUUUCCCACAACAAAAUUACUCAACGUCUGAAGACAAGUCAACUUGCCAAUUCCUACUGGCAUUUCCUCCAACGAAUCUGUAUUUGAAUUAUUGAGAUGAUGCAAUUUGAUGAGGUUUCCCAUGUCUGCACACAACUUCUUCAGUAGCUGACAAUAUUCCAACAAAAGCGUGUGUAAAUUGUAAAGAUUGCUCACUGAUUCAGGCAGAGUUCUAAUCUCAGUUCCAGACAGGUUAAGGUACCUUAAAUACCUCAAAUCACCAAUUGAAUCCGGUAGCUCGGAGAUGUAAUAUCCAUGCAAAGAGAAGACCCUUAAGCUUUGGAGUUUGAACAACUUUGGAAGAAUGCUAUAAGCCAAGAAUCCACGCGAACUAUUUGACAACAUUAGUGGUAAAAAAGUUCGCAAAUGUUGGAUAUCAUACAAUUUCUCAAACCUUUUAACGCCGUCACAUUCUCCACAAAUAUAUGAUAGAUGACGAAGAUUUCUUGAAAAACUUUGCUGCUUGUUAACCUCUGAGAUAUACUCCAUUCUGAAGUACAUUUCCCCAGCAGCCCAUUGAGCAAGGUCGUUGACGAGGUCAUGCAUCACAAAUCGUGAUCUACUGCUGCUUGAUUGCUGGAAAAAAGAUCUUGCACGUAGCUCUUGAAAGAACUUUCGACCUAAAUCUUCACUAGGAUUCCCGCUCUCUCCGUGAUCCAAGAAACCCGAAGCACACCAUAAUAAAAUUAUCUCCUCCUCUUCAAAUUCGUAAUCCUUUGGUAACAAUGAGCAGUAUGCAAAGCAUUGUUUCAAAGUUGGAGGAAGGUAAUAAUAGCUCACUGCAAGGGCUGGUAUAAUGCGACAUCUCUCUUGUGGUAAUUCCCAUAUCUUGCUACUGAGCACAUCUUCCCACUCACGUCUGUCAUGUUUUCCACGUAAAAGUCCUCCUAGUGUUUUUGCUGCCAAGGGCAAGCCAUUGCAUUUGAUCACUAUCUUCUUGCCAAUGUCCUCCAAUGACUUAUGAGAACUGAAAUCUCUCGUUCCCAAAGAGUGCUGAGCAAACACAGACAGACAAUCUUCAGUUGACAAGUUUUUCAAUUCAUAAGCUUGAUCCGGGCUCAUGAUUUUUGCAACCUCUUGAUUGCGAGUAGUGACAACAAUCUUACUUCCCUGUGCGCCAGCUUCAAACGGAAGGCUGAGGUCGACCCAAUCAUUGUAAUCCUCAUUCCACACGUCGUCCAAAACUAGCAAAAACUUCUUUCCAAACAUGUGUUUUUUCAAUUUCUCUUGAAGCAAAUUUAAGUCCUGAUUAUCCACAUUCUGGUCAGCAGCAAUGGAAAUUAGGAUUGAUUUUGUAAGCCUGAAAACAUCAAAAUCAUCAGAGACGCAAGUCCAUGCCUUGAGAUCAAAAUGAUCCUCCACCUGCUUAUCAUUAUAGACAAGCUGAGCAAGAGUGGUUUUACCCAGCCCGCCCAUACCUAUAAUAGGAAUAACAGAGAAUCCACCAUCGUUUCUUGAAUCAUCCUUCAACAACAAUUCAACAAUUUCCUUCUUUUCUGUUUCCCUGCCACAGACCUUGGCUUCAUUCACCAAAGAGGUUGUGGGUAGUCUUUGCCUGUCUUUUUUGGACCUCCCAGCUGAACUUACGUUCAAACCCAGCGAGUCUUUCUGUGUUACAAUAUCUUGAAAUCGGUCGUUGAUCUCUUUGAUUUUGGAGAUCAUGGCGUAAUCGAACUGAAUCGAUUGUGGAGUAAAAGUGGUGCAGCAAGUAGGAAUGAGCUUCCGAAACUUACUUGUUCUUGUACGACUGCUACUGGGUUGAUCCUGAGCAGCAGCUGGAUCUCCAUUUCCAAGCAGCAACUUCCUCCGGAAAGCCUCAGUUUGAAACUCAUCCAACAAGUCUUCAACAUCAUAAGCCAAGUUCUGAAGCUUGCCAAGCCACUUCUUCACAAACCGAUUAGUCGUCUUCUUCUCCUCAGCAUCAUCAAGCACCGCCUUGAUCAUCUCCAACAUAUUGUCCCACUUCAUUAGAUCGUCUUGGAUCUUCUCUUGGCGUGCAAAAAACAGAAUCCCCUCUGAAGCUAACUUAUUGACCAGCAAAUCAACGGACGCUGUAAGGAUUGCCUCUCCGAUGAUUGACAUUUUUUUUUCUUUCUUCUCUCUUUUUUUUUUUUUUUUGGGGGCAAAGAAAGAAGCAGAAUUUUGAGUUUUGAAAAGCAAAAUGAGAAAAUUGAACAGAAAGUGUGAAGGGUCAAGCAAAAUGAAUGUACCAAGUCUUCCGCUUGUUGUUUAUUCCAGGAAAGGGCAAAUAAAAACAGAGCCCACCACCCAUUAAUAAUUUAGCAAUUUACCAAUCACCAACCACCACCACUUGUUACCAGAUUCAAUAAAUAUAAAAUCGCACGUUGAUAUUUGUAGGGCCAAGCAACAUUAAUCCAAUGUCCGGGUAAAUGCUGAAUAAAGAGGAAGGUGGAAUGUAUCUGCUACUCACCUUCGCUUUACAAGUCUUCAAAGUCAUAAUAAUUACUUUAUUUAUUGAAUUAAUUUUCAUGCUAAAAUGAAGACUUAAAAGUAUACUACAAUAUUUUAUAAUCACAAUGAUAAUUUUAACAAUCAUGUUAUAUUAAUGUCAUGUAAAAAUAAUUUAUAAUAAAAUUUUAGCCGAAUAUAGUAAAUUCGACUUAUUUAUUAAAUAUAUAUAUUUAAUAAAAUAAUAACACAAUUAAUAUGUUAUCAAUCAAAUAGAAACUCUAAUGUGAAAACAAAAACUGUCCCACCACCAAUAAUUUAGCAAGCUUCACUUUAUUACACUACAGUGAAAACAAAAUCGGCCCCCACCACCAUCAAUAAUUUAGCAAGCUUCACUUUAUUACACAAGUGAAAACAAAAACAGCCGCUACCACCAUCAAUAAUUUAGCAAGCUUCAAAUGCUUGUGCUUGUCUGCUUGACGUACUGGGCAUGGGUGGACCAGGCAUCAUUGAGCAAUUCCAAAAAAAUUUUUAAAAAAAUCAGUGUCCAGCAAAGAAAAUCCAUCUUUUGAGAGAUAAAUUAAACAUAAAUACUUAGAUGUUUUUAAAUGAUUGAAUAAUGAUAUUAUUGGUAUUUAUAAAUUUCUAAGACGCGAUAAUUAUGUGGGGGACAUAUAUUUAUGGUUAUAGAAAAUGGCGGUAAAAAUGGUACAAAUCCAAUAUAAUAAAAAUGUAUAAACUGUAGUAAAUUAAUGUUUACUUCAAAGUACGUUAUAAAUAUCGCUUUCCUUAAUAUGUUAUUCGCUCCCAUCGAUUGAGUUAUGCAUAUGGAUUAAGCAAAUAUGCAUCUAAGAUACAAUAAAGCGUUGAUUUGUUUGUUUACGUUGUACAUCAAUGAAAGCAAACAUGAAUAUUCUUGAAUGUUAUAAGCCUAACAAGAAUUAAUAUAUUAUUCUUACAAAAAAAUAAUAUUUUAGAUAUUUGAUGCAUAAAAAAUAAAUGUUAAUCGAUGAAAUUCUUUUGAAGAAAGAGGACUACAAAAAAAAUGUAGGAUCAUUUUAUUCAUGUCUAAUUGACAUUUAUUUUUUAUGAAUGUAGGGGUAUUUUGGUAAUUUUAUGGACACAAGCGUUAUAUGUUGUGGAUAGAUGUUCGUUUUGAACUACAUUGCGUGUGGUUAGUCGUAUUUCACAUUUAUGAAAAGUAAUUAUGUUGUUUCCUUGCUUAGGAGAAACUGCGAAUGAGAACCAAGCCAUUGAUAUGAACAAUAGUCGAGUUUAAGUAUUGUCACUAUAAGUGAAAUAUGCAAACCCAUUUUCAUAUUUUAUUAUGAUUUUAGAGUGUAGUAAACCAUAUUUGCAAAAUAAGAUUUUAAUGCUCUAAUUUAAUGAUUUCUAGAAUAAAUUUGAUUUACGUAUUGGUACAUUAUUAAAAAUUUUAUGAUUAUUGGUUUUCCCUAUCGAUUUUGAGUAACGCAUAAUAGUACUUUGAAGAAAAGAAAAGUAAACUUAAUGUUAAUGGAAAGAAAAGAAGACUUAAUGUACGAUAAAAAAUGUGUUAUUUAUGUGUAUAAAAAUUUGUUAUUAAAAAUCAUGAGACAAUACCUUCUACAUCUAGUUACAAUGAUACAGAUAAGAUGAGAGCUCUUUGGGGCCCCUCUGAACACAUAGAGAGGUUAAUAGGUUGUGUUUUUUAGCGUUUUUGCCCUUUGGAGGCUUAUGCAUGCUGUAUGAUAAUAAAAAAGAUUCAAGAUACAGAUAAGAUAGAGGCCUUUGGGUCUGUCUAAGUGCACAUAGAAGCUUUGGAUCGUGUGCUUGGGUGCUUUUAUCUUUAGGGACUAUUUUAUGCAUGUAGUAUGAUGAGAUAUGAUAAUAUAUAUGAGAUAGCACUUCAUUGAUCUAUCCUUUGUAGCUCCAGGCAUGACAAUGCCCGUAUAGUAUGUCAUUGCACUGCCCAUAUGAGGUCCAGGUACGACAAGAUCAUUUACUUGUUUAGUGACAGUUUAAGAAUAAAGUAUUCUAUGUUAUCUUUUGCUAUGAUUUUCAUGUGUAUUACGUACAGUAUAAUGUAUUCUUCAAUGACAAUUGUUUGAUUUAAAGUUUGAAUAAUUUAACUAUGUUCUUACUUAUAGAUUAGUAAAGUUGGUAUGUCGAAAAGAUAUGAUCAUCUUUAAAGUAAGUUACUUUCAAAAGAUGUUAUCCACUCAUUGAGCUUACUAAUUUUUAUAUUCACCUUAUUUUAUUAUAUUUUUCCCCCUUAUAGAAGGAUGCAUGUAUACCAAUCGACUAACCGACUGUAGUUAUUUUGAAUUUUUGGUCACGUGAUGGCGCUAGGAGAAAUAGAUGGUAUUAUGCAUUUUGAUCAUCUCAUUUUGGAAUGUAUAAUUGUAUUAUGAUUUGAUGAUUAUGGAUGUUUAAUAUAUAUUGAAAUCAGUUAUAUUAUAAUCUUUUCAUAUUGGAGAUGUUUGGGUGUUAUUUGGUAUUUUAGUUGAGAAGGUUGAUUGAUGGAACUGAUUAUAUAUUAAAGUAUGUUAGGAGUGCUUGUAUAAAUUUUCAAUUUUGGGAUUGUUAUAUUUAUAAGGGAAAGAACUGCCGAAUUUUUGGUAGAAUCGUUACUAAUUAAAUUAUUAUCAGUCAAGUUAGACGAUAUCAGAUAGACCCGCAUGGAGUUUGAGGCGAGUUGUUUCAAAUCAAGUCCUUUAUAAAGCUCACUCACCCCUGACCUCUUGUUAGCUCUCACUCGUUACAAGCAUCUAUCUAUCAAUAUAUCAAUCAAUGCUUACAUUUUCUUUCCUCUUAUACAUCAAAACGAAGUUCAUCUUGGCAACCUUGCUGUCGCAUUAUUGUUGUCAAUAGUAUAGAACGUUUACAAUUAUCAUCUUCUGGUUGACCAAACCUGUAGCGACGUUCCAUUCGGAGCCCGAUGUUGAAAUUAAACCAAAAUGAAAUCCUCGGCGCAGCAAUAACUGUACUGAAGGAACGCGUUAUUCAAGCUAGGGAAGACUAUUCUAAAGCGCAUGAAAUUAGUAAAGACAACUAUGAACAGAGCGUGCUCAUGGCUUCCAUACAAUAAAGUCGUAGAAGCUUGCGACAGAGCAAUUGGACCAGCUAAGGUUGGCGAUUUUGACGUCGCAAAAACGGCAGCUGACGAAGCCGACCUGAGCGUUUCUCGCGCUGACGCAUACAACACCGAGAACCCGAACCUGAAACAUGUCAAUUUGAACUUGAAAAUUGCUUCUAAAAAUACAGUGGCCAUAGCCAUCAAGGCUCUUAGUAAUCCUGGUGCUCAAAGCGAAAAUUAAAACAAGGAGAGUACAAUUACUUAAUUUAAUUGAUCAUGAUUUCAGAUUUCUUUCAUCAUCGAUCUUUGUCUUUUUUAUCUUUUUUGAUAUGCAAACCAAUUAUAUUCUUUUUUAUGAUAUUGUUGGAGAGAAUAAUAAUAAUAAUGUGUGCUCUUUGAAGCAGCUUUCUGCUUAUGUUGUAAUGAAUAAUUUUUUAAUUGGUUGAUUGAAUUAUUUGAUGCUUUUAUUUAUUUAAUUACGUGAUGAUCAUGCAUGACUAAUUAAGUGGAUUCAUAGAAUUGGAAAAAUCAAAUAAUGACAGAAACAAAAUAAUAAAUCAAAACGAUUAAUUGAUUGUCUUCAUGUGUGUUAACCAAUUAAUACAAAGAUUAAUUAUCAAUUAAUCAAUGCAUAAAUAUUUGUUGACUUAAUUUUUGUCAAUCAAUCAAAUUUUCUAAUUACAAUUGUAUCAUUUCUGCAACAACUUUCUCUCACAUUAUUAGACAGCUUUUUUUUCUUUUUUCCCUUCCCUUUUUUUUCUGUUUUGUCCUUUUGUUUGAUUGGGCGUAAUGAAACAGAUAUAACAAGGGACCAAGCAUGACCUAUAUGUAUAUCUUCAUCAACAAACAAGGAAACAAGGGAUUGAAUUUGAUGUGUCACAGCACGAUAAGUUAAAUCUUAAAUUUGGACAGACAAGACAAAUAUAGAAGCAUCUAAUCCACCAAAGAAUAGACAUGGGACUUGACAUGAAAAUAAAUACAGACACAAACAUAAACAUUUACUCCUCCAAUGAUUGUUUCAAUAUCUUUAUCCUUGAUAUUUGCUCACUUUUAUAAAAUAUAAAUCUGCUGGUAAAUUUUUUGUACCUUAAACAGUUUUCUGACUUAUGAGAAAAAAAUAUUUUAAAAAAUUAUUGCAAAGAAAAAUUAAAAAAAAAACCUGCUAAAGAGACAAAAUAAUGUCAGAAUGCUGACAAAAAUAAUGUUAAAAUUAACUCGUUUUAAUGUGUUGACAAUUGAGUGAUUACAAUGAGCCCGGCUCAAAUAUUAUAUGACUAUAUUCAACUACAUCACAUAUAAAAUUUGAUUACCUUCACUAUUAUAAGAUGUUAUUUGAUUAAUACAAAUUAAUUCAAAUCUGAUAUGUUAAGUAGAGAAUAACAAUGUUUUAGAUCAUUGUUUACAAUACAUGGAUAAACUGGGUAAUUAGUUUAAAGACCUGUAAACCAAAAAUGGAUUUAUGUAUUCAUCUUAUCUCCACAUUAUAUGUUGAUGCUUUCAUUUCCACUCGUCCUUUAGUUUCUUCUCAAUGCAAAUGCCAGGAUAGGUGGAACAACAUUUCCAAUGUGCAUUGAUCCAGUGCUGAUCACAAUCUUGUAAGAAGAUACGCACAAAUCUUAGAUCAGCCACUAAAUCCAAAUCUCAAUAGCAGAUAUCAAAAUAGCAAUAAGACUUACUUGAGAUCAAUCGCACAUUCACGAACUUUCACCGAUUGUAUCUCUAACUGUUAUUGCACGGAAAUGAGCGCCAUUUGGUAACUUGGCAUUAAGCUCAGGACCGGCAUGCAAAGACGUGCAUUGGUUCUGGCCAUUCCGGCAUUGUUUCCUCAGGUGAAGCUGCCCAUAUGAAUGCUUGUUUACGACAUGGAAACACAUCGUGUGCUGCUGCUUCCAAUGCAUCACACCUCACCUAUAAUAACAACAAUAAAUAGAUGAAUAAUCUAAUCGGAGGUGAUUGUACAUAUACCGACAAUAGGGUUUAUUUUAACUAUGACACAAUUGCACAACUAAUUCCCAUAUUAAGGCUCAAUUUAGGACUGGUUCGGCAAUUAAAAAGUGUUUCGUAAGGACUUUCAAUUAUGAUUUGGAAGUUAAAGAUAAUUUUACUCAACAAUUGUUUGAUGAAAUUGUAUUAGAUCUUGGCCAGGACUUGACCGAGUGUUUUCGAUCAGCUUUCUUUGGCUAGUCACUCAAGUUUAAGCCCUGUAAGUGGUAUGAACCUAAGAAAUUGAUUCAGGCUUUUUGCACCACCCCACAACUUACUAUUUUUUCAAAUAUAUUUACUUUAAAAAUCAGGGCAUCUUGAUAGGCACCCCUCUAUGUUAAGUUAAAUGAAUAUCGGUGGGUGAGGUUUAUAAUAAUAGACAGCAAUAACAUACCACAACUUCUUAAUGGACAUGCAAUCCAUCGGUCGUAGCAGAACUACCUGACAGCGCCUGCAGGGCACAUGCAAUUAUAUUUUGAUCAGUGUUCACGAAGCUAAAGCAGUGUAAAUAACAGAUCAUGGCUUAAUUAAUUAAUUACAUGAAGGUGAUUAAAUAAUUGAGAAUGAAAUUAUAUUAUUAAGCAAAGACAUAAGCUAUUAUAUUAUUAAGCAAAGACAUAAGCUAAAUUACCCCAUUUAUCUGUUUGAAAUCUCGUCUUGAGAGCAAAUGCCGGCACUAACGAGGCUUGCUCAAUUUCGGCCUGCAUGGCUGCAUGUCUGAUAAGAGUGGAAACAUAGUGCCUUUAGCUAAAUCGUAGAAUGUUAAAUCUGAUGCUACUGAAUAUGGUGAGUGAUUCAUAUACACGGUCUUCACGAAUAUAUAGUUGUUAAUUACAGGAGAAGUUGCAAUAUGAAGUUAAUUUGAAAUUUAUAUUUCUCACCUCGAAUAAUUUCUGGUAAAUCGCUGAUUCGAUAAGGUCAAACUUUCUUUAUGAUCAUCAUCUUCUUCUUGGUCUUCGCCUUCCGAUGUUCCUAUUUCUGAUGUUUCUCCACAUUUUCUUCCUCUUUUAAUAACUUUCGUUGAAGAUUUUGACAGAAAUAUCAUUGUGAGAAGAGUAUUUCUAAAGUUUACAACUUGGAAAUGAGACCUUAUGUGAUAUGUACAUGAAGGAUAGAGUACAUGUCAGUAGUUAUAAGAAACAAUGUGAUGGUUUUAAAGAGACUAGUGGUGGUUUUAAAGAACUAAAUAAAGUUUAUUAUUUAAUAAAAAGUCAAAUAUAAAUCCCGAAGAAUCCUCUGUAUAAUCUGACAGGAUCUAGAAAACGGAGGCACAUGCAUGGCAAUAUCAUUACUUUGUAAGACUGGAUUAUUUUUAUAAAUUUUUAUCCAAAGAAACUAAAUAAAGUUUAUUAUUUAAUAAAAAGUCAAAUACAAAUCCCAAAGAAUCCGUUGUAUAAUAUGACAGGAUCUAGAAAACCGAAGCACAUGCAUGGCAAUAUCAUUACUUUGUAUGACUGGAUUAUUUUUAUAAAUUUUUAUCCAAAGAAACUAAAUAAAGUUUAUUAUUUAAUAAAAAGUCAAAUACAAAUCCCGAAGAACCCGCUGUAUAAUCUGACAGAAUCUGAAAAACGGAGGCACAUGUAUGGCAAUAUCAUUACUUUGUAUGACUGGAUUAUUUUUACAAUUUUUUAUCCAAAGAAACUAAAUAAAAUUUAUUAUUUAAUAAAAAGUCAAAUACAAAUCUCGAAGAAUCCGCUGUAUAAUCUGACAAAAUCUGGAAAACAGAGGCACAUGUAUGGCAAUAUCAUUAUUUUGUAUGACUGGAUUAUUUUUACAAAGUUUUAUCCAAUCCCUUGUUUGAUGCCAGUAAAUCAAUAUUUAAAUAUAUAGUUAUUUUGUUAUGUUAUUUGAUUUUAGCUAUUAAUGUCAAUAUUGGAAUAUAUCUUUAUAUUGAACUAAUAAAACAACUGUAUAAAGACAUUUGAAAAAACUUAAUUACGAAUUUUGAAUUCAUGAUGUAAGAUAGCGUUUGAUUUUUAAUCUGAAAUCUGAGUGGGGUCUGAACUUGGCUGAAAUAUGAAUAUCUUUAAAUUGCAUAUGUUUAAAUGAUAUAUUUAUUUUCUCUUUUUCGAUAUCCAAAUAUAAGUGGCAUCUAUUUUUUUUUUAUAAAUCAAAAACAUCCAAAGUAUGAUUACUUAACAUUUAUGUUUUUGUAAGAAUUAUUUAUACUUAUUAUAAAUUUUAAGAGUUAAAUACGUGCACAUUACAAUUAAAAUCAAACAUAUGUAGAGUUGAGUAAUUGAUCUUUAAAUAAAAAUAUUAUUACAUUACUCCAAAUACAAAAUUGAUUCAAACUUAUUAUACUAAUUAAAAUGUGAAUAAAUUUAAAUUUAAAUUUAUAAUUUACAUCAUCUUUUUUACCAUUUAAAAUUGUAAAAUCCCAUUCGCCCAAACCUAGUCUUAAUUAGGUGUACAUAAGUGUAAAGGCCCAUAUGUUCUUAAGAAGUAUUAAGUUUUCAUAGACCCAUAAGUGAAUGGAGAAGUGUAAUGCGAAUGCCCCAAAUUCAAGCCAGAGUUAUAACUGUUGGCAGACCUGUAUAAUCCUUUUAAAACAGUUCUCUAAUUAUAUUAAAAGACGAAAUAAAUCUAAUUAAAUUCUUAUAUUUCUCUCUCUCUCUAUAAGUUUCUUUUUCUAAUUCAUUACUCCCACACAACUACACCAAAGUCUUUUAUAUUUUUUUAUUUUCUCUCAAACACUUUGUAUAUUACAUAAUAACUAUUUAAGUCCAUUUUUAGUUCUACUCAAUUCAAAUAUAUAGAAUUUUCUUUUUAAUUAAAUAUAUAUGAUUUAAACUUUCAAAAUUUUGUAAAAACAAUAUCCCUAAUAUGAGGUUUGUGGAAGAAGUUAAAUAUUUUUUUAAUAAAAAAGAAACUGAAAUUUUAAAAAAGAGUUUUUGAAAACUUAAAAUAGGUUUUGAGAAAGGGGGGGGGGGGUUUGAGAAAAAAAAAUUAUAAGGUGCUAUUAGUUCCACUCUUCAAGCAAAGAUACACAGACCUUUACUCUUCAAAAUAAAUUUUGCGGUGAAUUUUAUUGUUGGCUAAUCACAUUGAUAUGAGUGUGAAUAUGAAAAGGAUAAAACUUAUAAUAAAGAAUUAUAUGAACUAUAUUUUAAAGAGAAAAUAUAUUUUUAAAACUAUGAAAAUUUUCUUACAAAUAUGAGCUAGGGAGAUAAAUUGAAGAGGUUACAUAUCAUCAAUCUAGUUACUUCAGAAAAUGUGGCCCAAUGUCUUCAGAUGGGUUAGUGUUGGUGUGUUACUAAGAAAUAGGCCGAAGUUGUAAAAAUAAAAAAUAAAAACAGUAGGUUUUCAAAUUAACAAAGAACAGUUAUUUCACAGAACACAUGAAUAUCUCUAUGAUGUUAAUGCUUUCAUUUCUACAGCUUCCUUUAGUUUUCUCCCCAGUGCAAACGCCAGAGGAGGUGGAACAGCAUUUCCAAUCUGCCGAUGCUUGUGUUGGAUGUCACCAACAAAUUUAUAGCUAUCGGAGAAACCCUGCGGGAAUCAAGAGAGCAGGGUAACAUGACAGCAGAAACAGUUGGCAAAAUUUAUCUUGUUUGAUUCAAUAAUUAGCUUGUCAAGUUAGAAGUGUCACCGGUGCUGCAUGAAAAAUUAUUUUUGGUCAUUCUGCUUUUUCAUCAUUCCAACUAACUGCAGAUAUUUACAUAUAUAGCCAAAAAGACUUACUUGUGAUCGAGCACACUCACGAACUGUGAUUAUUCUAUCCUGAUCUGGGUGAAAACAGGUUCCGACCAUACCCAUCGGAUGAGGAUCGGUAACGGAGGUUGGAAAAUUUCCUUCCCAGUCCAACCUUCCGAACAGACCCUUCCAUUGAUUAUGCUUUUCAGCUGUAUUGGGUAAGCACCAGGGUAUUAAAUCUACAACCUGUCCGUUAGACAAUCGAACCUGGAGGGGGAAUUUGAAAAGGAAAAUGUUUAAAACCAAAGCAAUUAUGAAAUGAUAACUUCAGUUAGAUCUAAAAGAAAAAACUAUACACCUUCUCACUAGGAAGAACACGCCAAUCGGAACCAGGCUGUUUUGGGAUCUUUUGACACCUAAUAAGGUUCAGCUCACUCAUUGCCUUUGAUAUAUGAUCAUUUAAGACCAGCAUAUCUGCUCUGAUUUUCUUUUGAAACCAUGACACAGGUUCACUUUUAUACUGCACGGUAGGAAAAUACAAGAAACAAGACCUUUGGUAGAAGGAACAACAAUAAAGAUAAAAUGAGCAUCACAGACAGGUGAAGAAAACCCCACUUCCAUGGUUGUUACAGAAGCCCCAUUGCCAACAGCUGGGAGGUCUCCAAUUGUAUCUCUAACUGUUAUUGCACGAAAAGGAGCACCAUUUGCAGUGCUUCGAACAGCAGCAUAAUGGGAAUUUCUUGCUAACUUGACCUUAAGCUCAGGGCCAGUGAACACAUGCAUUGGCUCAGGCCAUUCUGGGAGGGUUUCCUCAGGUGAUGCUGCCCAUAUGAAUGCACGUUUACGAGACUGAGACAUGCCAUAUGCUCCUGCUUGCAGGACACCAAAUCUCACCUACAACAACAAAAUUAGAUGAAUAAUUUAUAUAAGCUACAUGAUACUUUCACAAUUUUCAGAUUAAAUUGACUAAUGAAAUGGAGAAACAAAUUCAGGGAAUUUUGAUAGGUAUCCCUCCAUAAAGCUAUGAGUGAGUAAAUCAAAGAUGGUAUCUACCUGAUAACCCAUCUGGAGGAGAGAAGCCAGAGUUAGGCGAAAUGUUUGCCCUUUGUUAAAUGAUGUAAAGUUCCUUACAUUCUCCAGAAGGAAAAAUCUGGGGCGGAAAUAAUCAGCAAAAGACAACAAUGCUAAGAUCAUUUCACAUUGAACUUUGCUCCAAGAGCCUUGAUUAAACCUAUUCAUUCCAGAAAAUCCCUGGAAAUAACAAAGAACCAAUAGCUAAACUUAAUAAGUCUUUUGUACACAUUUAUUGUUAGAAUUGCUUACAAAAUAAAUCCUAGAAGUAGACUGGAGGAUUGAUCGAUGUACCUGACAAGGAGGCCCUCCACUGAUGAAAUCCACUUGUCCUGGCCGAGGCAAACUCUUAAUUGUCUCUUCAUCAAGUUCUGCUGCUAGCUCAGAAGCUUCAGGAGUUGAAAUACAGUCGUCAGCAUCCCCACAUGCUGACAUGAUAGCCCUGCAUUUGAUUCAUUGAUUUACUGAAGAUAUAAGAGUUGAUUAAAAAGCAGUUAUCACCGAAUCGAACAUAAAGCCAUGAGUUAUUAUACUUAAAUGAAAGCAAACAUCAACCUCAGGAUCACAUUGCAGUUGUUAAUAAACACCAAAGCUUCUGGAUGAUUAACCUUGAAUGCUUCUCCUGCUGGUUGCUCAUACUCUAUUGCCCAGUUGGUUAUCGACACACCUUUAGUUGGAUAUUUGUCAGUCAAAAUAGAACUAAAUCAGUUUACUUGCUCACGGAACUUUGAAAGUUACCUGCUUGCUGUAGGCCAUCAGAUAAGCCACCACAACCUGCGAAAAUAUCUAAGGUGGCUAAACGAUUCUUAUGGACAGCAUCCGUCUGUUUGUCAACAGCACCAUCAUGCUUUUCCUCUUUACAUUUCCCAUUUAUCUUUCUAUAAGCAGUAUCAUCAGCCACCCUCUCUUUUAGCACACUAGUCUUGAUGUGAGGCGGCAACUGGCCAUUAUGCAGUCAUUGCAGUCAGCAUAAGAAGAAACCACAGUUUAAUAAACAUAAUUCACAUGAAUCUAGUUAAGGAAAUGAAUUAAAGGGAAAAUGAGUAAAUAUAAACUACCUGCUUGAUGGUUCCUUUAUCAGGAUCGUAUAAAUGCUCGCAGAAGAAAAUAUGCUCAAAGAUUGUGGGGCUAUCCAAAGGGGCAAGAUCAUGCUUCUUUCUAAUGUCACAUUUGCCUUCUACUCCAGUAACAGGAACUGUCAAUACUAGUUUACUGUAAUAAACCUAAAGAUUCAAUAGCAAAGAAACUGUGUAUAAGAUCCAUGAUAACAUAAUAACACCAAAAAGUCAAAUAGAAACUUUGUAUCACAGAAUAUAUAAGACAAAAGAACACGUAAUCAAAAGUAAUAAAAAAAAGGGAAAGAAAGAAAAUAUAAGACAAAAGCACACAUAAACUCUAAAAGAUUUUACUCCAUUCAAUAAAAAAGAAAUGUUUAGAUCGGUUCCUAGAACAUACUUACUUCUCUAAUGUCAGCGUAGUAUGCUUUCUCCUCUGAUAUGUCCUCGGGUCUGAAAAAUCUCCGAACUUUAACCUUAGUGGAUCCAGGGCAAGCUUUUGUGGAAGUCUCUGGUACUUCAAUACCUAGCAACUGACAAACAACAUAUGCUUUCAUCCCUUCGUUUCUAAAUGUAUCUCGGUUCCUAUCUUUAUCAGAAAAAUGAUGAUGAGCUACGUAGACAUAAUCAUGAACAUGGUACUCUGUUCCUUUGAGAGUGAAACCAUUUCUGUUCAAAUUUACCUUGAAAACGUCCUUCUCCCUCUCGGUUUCCUUUAUUUUACAAGAAUGGCAAACUCCUGUUCCAAGUCCCAUGGUAUCUUUUGGAAGCUUAAAGAAAGCACCUCUCUCAGGCCAGUACAAGCUUUUGCAAUAAUAUUCCAUGGGGAAUUGAUCAAUUCUUAGAUCCUCUGCUCUUUCACGAACAAUCUUGUCCUUGCAAGCAUUAGUCUUCCGAUGUUGAUGCCCCCAAGGAAUCAAUAAGAUUUCAACUGCCACAACUUCUUUAACAUCUUCCAGUUCAAUUUCCAGGCAAUCGUUCGUCAAAAAAACCUCAUUAGCAUCUGCAGUAUUACCAAGAAACGUUUCAGAGCCUCUUAGCAUGUGUCUGCCAUGAACCAUCUUUCUUGAAUCUGACUUUUCAAACAUAAACUCUACAAAAUAUAUUGAAGGCAAAUGAUCUGAAUCUGCAGUUUCAACCAGCACGCAACCACCAACAUUAAUCACAUUGCCACAAACAAUGGCCCGUUUGUAAAGAGACUCACUGAAACAUGCUUUUCUUAUUAACUCCCCAUCCCAUUUGGUAACCUUCGAAGAGCAAGGCGGCUUAACACUUUUCGCAGAUAAACAAAAUUUCUCCAUAUUCUCAUCAACUUGCAUCUGUUCCACUUUAAUGUCUUCAGGAUCUUCCACACUAUUUUCUCCAUGUUCUUCAUCGAGUUCUUCAUCCACUUUCACUUCACGGAUAUAUGCCUCCUUUGAAUCUUCAGGCAAAUAAUUUGAGUAAAACUCUUCCCAAAUUCUCUUUAUCAAUCUCGUGGUUGUUGCUUGCAUUACCUUGUUUUUUGAUGCUCUCAGAUUUGAAUUUAUUUCCUUCUUCAGCACCACCUUUUUCUUCACCAAAGACCUGGUGUGGCGUCUUUCCUCCAUUUUUUCAAAAAGACCAGACACAAAUGCACACUUGCUGAUCCUUUUAUUAGGAAGCUCCGCAAAUUGUUGGAGUAUGAUAUGUCCAUGAACCACCACAUACCUUUCAACUUCUGUGGGAUUGGAAGAAAUAUAAGCAGGAUUAGUCUUACUGAACUUGGACACUUUUUUUAUUACAUCUGCAAACGAGAGUCGAGAUGCUCGGCUCUGAUUGUUCAACAUUGUAAUGAGGGCAAUAGCAAGCCUCGCAGUUUUUAGAACUGGUUUAAACCACGCUGCAUACUGCUUUGAUGGCCUUCCAAGCCUAUACCUGAAAACAAAAUCGCAAAUUUGAUAAGAACUAACACUGCCAGAAGAUAAAGAGUACAAAAAGGCAAGCUUAAGCACUAGUACCACCACCAAACCUCUUGAUAUUAUAUGGAUAUAGAUGCAUACCAGGAAAUAUCUGUCCGAACUGAUAUGGAAACGAACGAGUAUCCAAAUUCGAUCAUCCAUUCCUGUAUUGCACUCAAAUAUACUGGUAUUCCCCCAACAUUCUCUGCCACAGAUGAAGACUGAUCAAAAUUAGCAUCAACACAUAUUCCACUUGAAUCACCAGUUGUCAUAAUGCCGGACCCAAAAAUGGUAAUAUCAUUAUCAUCACAUGGUUUCAUUGGGAGGAGCUCCAAAGAAAUCAACCGCGAAUCUGAGUUGUAAAGUGACCAAUUGUGAAGCAUUCUUCGAGGAAACUCAUCAGGAUUAAUUGCAUCAAAGAUUAAAUACUCAUCAUUUUCCUCCUCACUGGGCUUGUAAUAUGCAGGCAGAGGAUAGUCAUCAACAAUUUCAUCCUCAUUGAUUUUACUGCAGAACUUGCUUGAUGAACCAAUUCUCCUCUGAGUUUUAUUAUGUUUCGUUGAUUGCCAAUUCUCCUCUUCCUGCAACAGCCUUGCCAAUUUCAUAUCUUUAUCUUCUUCACCUCCAGAAACAGAUGAACUAGACUGAUUGUUUUGCUCUUCUUCACCAAUUCUCAUACCUGUAUUUAUGAGACUGCUGGAUGCACUGGUUUCCAGAGUAAUUAAACUCCCUUGCUUCUUAGUUUCAUCCAGCAGUGCAAGGAGCACGGGCAAGUUCUCAAAGAUCUGAUCAUUUUUCUUGGAUGUAUCAUCUAAACCGAUGAGUUGAUUAUAUAUGAAUUCACCCUGUGAGAUUAUAAAUUCCCUCAUAGAUGUCCUGUGAGGAAAAUUCUUGCUAUCACUCAUGGAACGAACAACUCCUGCAAGCAAUUCAUCGACAGUCUGAUCAGGGUUCCCUCCACAAGAACUUGAAAGUUUUUUAUAGACCUCCACAGAGGCACGAGCCUUUUCAUAGAAAAGGUUAUAUAGCAUUUUAUAACUAUUAGCAGGUUUAACACAAUCAUAGUCUGCAGUGACAGUUGAAAUCCAAAAUACCGGUGAGCCUUCCUCAUAUCCAGAUAUUGCCCAAGAUUCAACUCGUCCGAAAUCUUCACAUCUAACACCUCUUUCCUUCUGUCUUCCACAACAUUUUUCAAGAGGCAAUAUAAGACCUGAAACGAACAAGUUUCCAACUUCCAACAUUUCAACAGACUUUAGGUUUCCACAAGCAUCAUGAAAGGCAAAUUCUGUUAGCCUUCGAUUUGGUCUAAAGUCAUCCUUUCCAGUGGUCAAGCUUAUUGCAACCUCUUCAUUUUCUGCAACAACUUCCCUUGUGCUUUCCACAAAAGAUGCACUUCGAGAGAAGGAAAGAGAUUUAUCCAUGAUAUCCAUACAUGCAGCAGCUCUCUUUGGCACUUUCCAAGAAUUGGAUGAUUCUUCACUAUUCUCAUGUCUACUUCUCUUUUGUUUUCUGGCCGUCUCACACUUCUCGUCUAUUAUAUUAACUUCAAUGGCAGAAGAUUGCUUUCCCUCGGCUAUUUUUUCCAUAUCUAGAAAUAAUUAUCCAAUUGAAAACAGGAAUAAAAGCAGAUACUAUUAAACUCCAUGGUUACUUUGGUAUAUGAAGAAAUAAAAUGACCAAAAAGGAACUCUAAUAGAAUAAAUAAGGAAACGAUCGAGUUUGGGAGCGAUAAUUAAUCAUCUAUUUUCUUUUGAUGUGGAUAAUAAAAUCGAAAAGGUAAGCUCACUCAAGUCAAUAAAGACUAAAGCAUGGGGUAACAACAUUCAGAAUCUAUUGUCACAAAUAAAAAGAAAUUUAAACAAUCAGAAAAGUGAGCAACUUAAGGACGACACUUGUUACAUAUGCCAAAUGUGGUAGUCUGGGCAUUCAAAAGUAAUAAAGCAAUCUUUAAAUUAACGCAUGUCCAGAACACUAUGAAGCAAGCUGCUGAGGAUUCAACGUGCUAUAUACAGAAUGUUCUUAAUGGUGUUAUUACUUUCUUCACAUAAACUUUUGAUGACUAUUUUGCCCGAGUUAACACAACUAAAUGUAAAUGACAUACCAAAACUAUUUAACAACUUGAAACAAAUUCCGAAAUUAGAUAUGCACAUGGCUAUAUUCUUCGUAUACCACUGACCAAAAAUAUUAGAAAACCAUAGAUGCUAUCAGUAAUUAGAACCCAAAAAAAAAAAAAAAAGUCUAGAAAACGGAACAGCUAACUAAUAAGUAUUACAGACCUGUAUUUAUGAAAUUGCUUGAUACAGUAGUUUCUGGAGCCAGUAAACUCCCUUGCUUCUUAGUUUCAUCCAGCAGUGCACAGAGCACAGGCAAGUUCUCAAAAAUCUGAUCAUUUUUCUUGGAUGUUCCAUCUAAACCAAUGAGCUGAUUAUAUAUGAACUCACCCUGUGAGAUUAUAAAUUCCCCCAUAGAUGUCCUGUGAGGAAAAUUCUUGCUAUCACUCAUGGAACGAACAACUCUUGCAAGAAGUUCAUUCACAGUCAGAUCAGGGUUCCCUCCACAGGUUCUUGACAAUUUCCUAUAGACCUCGACAGAGACAUGAGCUUUUUCAAUGAAAAGGUUAUAUAGCAUUUUAUAAUUAUUUGCAGGUUUAACACAAUCAUAAUCUGCUGUGAGUGUUGAGAUCCAAAAUACUGGUGAGCCUUCCUCAUAUCCGGAUAUUGCCCAAGAUUCAACUCGACCAAAAUCUUUACAUCUAACGCCUUUUUCCUUAUGCCUUCCACCACAUUUUUCAAGAGGCAAUACAAGACCUGAAACAAACAAGUUACCAACUUCCAACAUUUCAACAGACUUUAGGUUUCCACAAGCAUCAUGAAAAGCAAAGUCUGUUAGCCUUCGAUUCGGUCGAAUGUCAUCCUUCCCAGCAGUCAAGUAUAUAGCAGCCUUCUCAUCUUCCACAACAUCCUCCCAUCUGUUUUCAACAAGAGAUGCCUUUAUGGACAAGCGAAGAGAUUUCUCUUUAAAAUCUGAACAUGCAGCAGCUCUCUUUGGCAUUUUCCGAGAACCAGAAGCUUUUUCACUAUUCUCAUGUCUGCUUCUGUUCUGUUUUCUGGUCACCUCAGACUUGUCAUCUGUUUUACUAGCGUCAGAGGCAUUAGAUUGCCUUUUUUUGGCUAUUUUUGCCAUUGCUGGAAACAAAAGUCCAAUGAAAACAUGAAAUUAAAAUGGACAUACUAUCACUCUCUAUGGUUACUUUGAUAUAGGAAGUAAUGCAAUAAAAUGAUCUAAAAGAAAUCUAAAUAGGAGUAAUGCAAUAAAAUGAUCUAAAGGGAAUCUGAAUAGGAUAAGUAAGAAAAUUAGUUUAUCAGCCAGUAUUACGAAUCCAUUAUCUUAUGAUAUUGACAAUAAUGAUCAAAAGAAAAACUCACAGAAGUCAAUAAAAACAUGACUGAGUAUCGACAGCCCGAAUAUACUGUAUCAAAUAAAAACAGAACACUGAGCAACUUAAAGAGGAUACAUGCUUCGUGCGCCAAAUGUGGUAGCAUGAAGCAUUCAAAAGUAAGCAAAACAAAAUUGAAACACCACACAAACAAACACAAUCAGAAAACUUAAACUUAUACAGAGAACAACCUGAAAUUGAAACAUAAUAUGUCAAAAAAAGUAAACUUUUAAAUAUCCUACCCAAAAAUGCAAAAAAAAUAAAAAGACAAAAACCAAAAUGUACAACAUUCACUAUAAGAAUCACAAAGUUGUACGUUAUAAAUAAACCCAAAAAAAAAAAUCAAAUUUUCUGUCUAAUUAAAUCACAUUACAAAGCUUUGCUUCGGAUAUUAUAAGAAUUGCUGCCUUUAUGCACCCACUUACGUUUUUGCUCACUUUCUCUUCAGAAAGCUCUCAAUUUAUGCAUGUAAUGCUCAAAACUGACAACCCAUUUGUUGAAUCUACACAAAUCUCACUCUCCCUGCAGAUACAUUUGUGGUUGCAAUAACAAUUUUAGUGAGAGGAAAAGAGCAAAAUGCCAGAGAAAGCUGACCUGAUUCUUUGUUGUUUUGUUAACUCACAUUCAGUGUACACUUGCUGACCUCAUUUACAGUUCUAUAUAACUAUAGUCAACCCAACUCCAAUUUUGGCAACAAUGGCAACAACUAAAGCCCUAAAUCAUAUUGUCUCAAAACACAUUCGUUCUAUACUCAAAUGGGUUUUUCUUACCCUCUCUCUCUCUCUCUCUAGAUAUAUAUAUAUAUAUAUAUAGACACACACACACACUUCAUUUCUGUGGGCUGUUAUAAUAAAAUCAUGAACAUGUGGCGGGAAAGCAGUUCACUUGGUUGUACAUUUGUACCGAAAGCCCAAAAUUCGGUAUGACACCUUUAUCAGCUUCCUCCGUCAGAGUUUUAGACCAAGGUUUCAUCAGAUUACGUAAUUACCCUUAUAUUUUAACGGAAUUACAUAUAUACCCUUAAAGUAUUUGAAAUGCCUUACGUUUUGAUUGGUUCGUGGCUCUUUGGAUCUAAAAUGCUUAAUUAAUUUAUCACUUUCACUUAAAUUGCCGCUUGGGCCCACGGCUUGCCGGCACGGACUCAGUACAUAGUUGUUAAUUACACCAUAUUUUAACUGCGGUAAUGAAGUUUAAAUUUAUAUGCCCCACCUUUCAAUAGUUUCUGGUAAAUCGGUAAUUCGAUUUUGUAAAAAUAAUUUCAAUAUCUGCAUCAUAUAUUCCUGCACCUUUUCUUCCCCGUUCAACAAAUUCUCCUCUCUCUCUCUCUCUCUCUCUCUCUCUCUCUCUAUAUAUAUAUAUAUAUGAUAUAAUUUUUUUAGAAAUUAUAUCAUUGCGAUUUACGACUUAAGAAAAGAGACCUUGUAUGCAAUGUGCAUGAUGGAUAUAAACACCUGAGCCUCUAUUUAUAAUAAAUAAUUUAGUGAUUUUAAGGAAUUUAAAUUAAAUUCGUGACUUAAUAAGAAAACAAAUCUAAAUCUUGAAGAAUCUGUUAUAAAGUGUGAUAUAUGGCAUCAUAGUUAUGAGUAAAGAGAAAAAUAAUGUACCAACAAGUGCGUAGAUCAGUUGGCAUGAGGUUGUUCUAACUUAAUUAAGGUUCUUAGUUCAAGACUUGAGAAUGCAGCUGCGUUAAAUACUUGUUACGAGAAUUUUACCACGCUAGUGGUCCUAUUAGCUUGAAUUUGGAUUAGUCGCCGAAUAUAAUAUUCGGAUACCAAAUACUUUAAUAUACUAAAAAGAAUGUAAUUAAUUUUAUAUACAUAAGCAUCGAAUCUCUCUGAGGAACCAAUACAAGUUAAAAUUAUCUUUAGCAAUAGCAGGUAAUAAUAAAAUUCUAUGGCGACUUUAGAUAUAUACUCAUAAUACAAUCUAAAAAUCUAUCGAGAUUAACUUAAAAAAUUACGCUCACUAACAAUAUUACCCCUAUUCACCAUUUUUUUUGUAAAAAGAGGUCAGAGGCCUCGUGAGGGCUCAAACCAGUGAUAUAGCAAACAAAUAUUUUGCUAAUUAAAAUUAAAGGUGAUUUAGGAUAAAAUUAGGUUUGAUCAUUUUAGGAAGCUUUUAAUAUUGUAAUGGCUGGUUUAUUUAGAAAUUUUUUUGGGUUAAUCUUGACAAAACAAGGAAAAUUUUUAUUAAUAGGAAAAUAGAUGAGACCUAAAGAGAGGAGAUGUAAUAAACCUUACUUCUUAGGAGAAAACUCAAGAAAAAUAAACCAACAAUAAUUAAGCGAUAUACACUGCCACCAUAAAAAUUUAAAAAAAAAAUACUUCGUAGAAAAUAAAAAUGCAAGAAUAAGUAAUACAAUAAAAGCAAGCUGACAAGCAGCCUAAAAUAUGAACUAAUAAAGUCUGGGCCUUAGAAUUCCUCCAAUGUAGACAAUAAAAUAAUUAAAAUAAAUACGUAAUAAUGACUGUAUGUAACUGCAAAAGAACAUUAAUAAAUUUUGUGCUUCUUGCAAGUAUUUUGAUCAUACCAUUGAGAUGUGUUACGUGGUCAAUCUGGGACUCCGUUCCCAGCGGUUAAGUGGAAAUUGACAGACUAUAAUAGAUAAUAAGAAAUCAGAAGAUAUGCCGCCUCCUCAACCCUUGAAUACUCCACGACCUGAGCCUUCCAUCACUAAGCAGAUUGCAGAUGUGGGGUCUUCGAGUGUACAAACGGAGAACCGAGCUAACGCUACAACUGCAGAUGAACCUUAAUAAAUAAUAAUAACUGCAAAAAAAAAAAAUCUUGCUUGAUUUUGUUGGCAUUACACUUUCUUUUCUUUUUCCUAAAAAAAAAACGAAUUUCAUUUCAACCAAAUAUCAACGUGUACACAAUAGUUCGGCUGGAAAACCCUCCAAACAAACCAAAUUUCUGAAUAUAAAUGUAAAAGCCGGCUUUAUUAACAUAUGAGUAGAAUAAUGUUACCAAUUAACUUGGACCAAAUUUGUGGAAAUGAUGAAUUGACAGCAUUAAACGUUGUGCUAUUAUUAGUAUUAUUUUUAGAAUUAUUAUAUUUAUUAUUGUUAUUGUUAUUGUUAUGAUAUAUAAUAAUAAUAGUACUUGUAGUAAUUUAUUUUGAUUUUUAGACAAAAUAACCACAUUAAUAGAAAUACAACUUAUUCUAAUUAUAAUUCCUUUAGUUCAAUUAAAUAAUUUAUUUUAAUUCUAAUUUUCACUUCUCAUUCUAAUUGCGGCAUCAAUUGAUAAAUGUAGAAUAGAUAUUUGUGAUUGUAUUGGAUGCAAUAAAUGAAAGAGAAUUUUUGCCACUAUUUCAAGUUGAAAUAGUCCCCAUCCUUUUAGAUUUAUACACUAUAUCAAUUCAAACUUCAAUUAAAUUUAUACCAAACUAAGCUUUUAUUUAAUGAUCUUUUAUCAGUUAUCAAUUACUUAUUGAGUUAAUAUUUAAUUUUUUUAAUUUAUAAGUAAUGUCAAUUUUAUGUUACUAAAACGACAUGGCAUAAUAAUAAAAUAUGGGUUUUUGUGUCCAUUUUUUAGAAUAACGAGGUCCACAAUAUAUUGUUACAAAACUUGGAGGUAUGGAAUAAUAAAAUAAUAACAUAUAGUGCAUGCGUAAUGUCUUAUUAUUCUCAGUGCCGAUGUCAGGAAUUCAAUCUAGUACGGAUUAAGUUUAAAUGCAAUGUAAUUUAAAUUUGGUCAAUAAAUAAAAUAAAAAUCUAUUAAUAUAGUCAAUUUAAUAUAUUUAUAAUUGUCUUUGACGUGCUUUUAUAUGUUGAAAAUAUUGAAGAAUAACCCUAUUAUCAAGAUUGCAAAAUCUAUCGUUUUCUAUGUAUACAAUUAAUUUCUCUCAUUCGAUUCACUAAUUAUUUUUCACAAAAUUCUUUGCUGAAAAUGCCAUUUUUAUUAUAGUUAUGGUAACUAAUAAAAUCAAUAGUAACGUCAUCAAUAGAUAAAAUGAUUAAUACAAUUUAUUUUUCUUAGUAUCAACUAUUUUCUUACUAGUUCACCAAUCCAUUUAUUCCUGAAAAUUUGUUAUCAAAACCUACAUCUAUGAUGUAAAACAUUAAGUUGAAUUUCAAGAGGCACAAGAUCCAUUGAAAUAAAAUCAAUUGGAUAAAACUCAAUAAAAUGAAUUUUUUCAGUUCUUUUAUAUAAGGAGAGUUAGGGUCAUAAGGAUAUCAAAAUAACAAUAUUUCUUUAUGAAUUGGAGGUGUAAAAACAAAUAUCUAAUAUUUUAAUUAUUUUUAAAUUUUAGCAAGUACUUUUACAGUAAAUCAAAUUGAAAGUCUGUAGCUUUUGAAAAGUCAAACAGGGACUUCAGCAUCUCUGAGCGCUAGUGUACGGUACCACCGCUGAUUAUUCUUACUCAAUAACUACUGUUCACAAACCUAAAACCUUGCUUUUAAAAACUUGACAAGGAUAAAAUCUUAUUCCGUAAAAUUACAUAUUUUUUUGUCUCACAAAUGCAAUACUCUAUGUUGGAUAACGGAUUUUUAUUUUGAUUUUUUUUAAUUUAAGACAAAAUUUCAUUUAAUUACUUUAAAACCGCCACUUUUUUUUUGUAUAAAUAAUGCUAUAGGCUCCAGCCAUUUUGCACAUCUGACGAAAAAGUUUCAUUUUCUAAGUAAAAAAAAAAAAAGCUUCAGAAAUAUUCCCUCACAGUAAUAUUUCUGACAAAAAAAUCCGACAGAAGCUGUUGAACGAGGGGGAAAAUGUAGAAUAACAGCAGAUUUAGGUUACGAAGGAGAAGAUCCAGAGGAAGAUGAAGAUCGCGAGAAAGAUUAAUAUUAUCGAAUCAGCAAUUUACCAGAAACCAUUUGAGGUGAGAAAUAAAAAUUUGAAUUUGAUGGUACCGAUUCCCGAUUUUGUUAGAUCAAUUUUUUUUUUUUUUUUUGGUUUUUGGCGGUAGUGUCAUGGCCGUUGAUGGCACAACGACACAGGCGAUGAAUUUUUAUUUUUAAUAAAUUAAAUAUUAAUUAAUUUUUGGUGUAACGGUAGUUUUGGAAAUUUAUUUUAUAUUAAAGGAUAUUUUGGUAUUUAAGUUAAAAAUUUUAGAGAAAAUGACAUUUAUACCCUUUUGGUGAAAUAGUCAUAUUAAACCCGUAAGGGACACAACGAGACUCCUUUUCUACUGUAAUAUCCUUUAACUAUAGUAUCCUCAAAAAAUUGAUUCUAGUGUUUUAAAAGAAAUAAAAAUAUAAUGUUAAAAUAAAUAUAAUAAUAUAUACAUUUUAAAAUAAAAAUAUUUAAUCACUAUACAAUAUGUUAGAUAUAUUUUAUUAUAUUAAACUUAAUUUGAUAAUAAAUGGAAAUAUAAUAUAAAAUAAAUAUUUUAAAUUUUAAAUUAUUUUGAAUAUCAUAUCAAAUAAGUUAAUAUUAUUAAUAUGUGAGAUAUGUUGAAUUAAUAGUAAAAUCUAUUUAAGCUAAAGAUUUAUUUCAAAUAUUUUAAUAAAUAUAAAUAAAAUAUUUUAUAUUUUCAAAUUAUUUUAUAUAUUAAAAAUAUUUUAAUAUUUAGGCAAAUAAAUUAAUAAAUAUUAUAUUUUCAUUUAUUAAAAAAUUUAAGGCUAAUUUUUUUUAGCUAUCAUAUUCAAAGUAUAUUAAAGUAAAAAAAAGAUCUUAUAUCCCUCAUUAAAAACUUGUGAAAAACUUGAGAGUUGUUUGAUAAUUUCCUCAAAUCUUAGAGGUGUAGCUAUCUUUUUUCCAAAAUUUUAUUAUCAAAUAAUCAAAUUUCUAAAAGUUGUCGCUUUUUUUUUUGAAGUUAUAAUUAGCUUAGCUGCUUUUAAGAAUCUACAAAAUCUAAUUACUUGAAAAUCAAAUUAUUUAAUAAUCACUUUUGAAUUGAAUUUAACAACACUCUUUGGAUGCUCGUUGUCGAAGCAUGUCUUUACCUGGCCUGGUGCGCACCCUACACAACCGAAAGGCAAGGCCUGUUUGGAAAGUUAGACUAUGAAGGAAAUUAAUUGAUGGAUAGUAUUUGAUUAAUUUCAUCUAUUUUGUAUUUAGGCUCCAUUUGGUAUAAUUUUUCAAAGAAAACUUAUUUAAUUAGAGUUUUUGUUAGUAGAGCUUUUGUAAAUAGAACUUUUACUAAAAAAAAAAAAGUUUAGUUGUUUGGUUGACAAUAAGAGCUUUUAUUAAAAAUUUAUGAAAUUACUUUAAUAGGUAAAUUUUUUAAAGUUAUAUUAUGAAAACAAUAAAUAAGAUUGUUAAAUAAGUAGAGAAUAUUUUAGAUGUUUUGAUAUUUAAAAAAAAAAAUUAACCUCUACUCCCAUAGAGAUAAAUAAUUUCUUUAAGUUUCAAAAGUUCUAUUAAAAAAAUAACCAAAUAACAACAAAAAUUAUAAUAAGAACUUAUAAAAUUAAAUAAAUACUUAUAAACAUUAAAUAAAUCAUACCAAACAAACACUUAUUAGUUGGGGCUUUAACUUGUUUUCUCAAAUUUCAAAUUCCGGAAGAAGAAUAGGCUUCUCAAAAGGAACUUCCAAUUAGGGCUUUUAACGCAGAACCCGAAGCAAGAUAUUUGUUUAGGAAAGGUCACUAGUAAUUAUAUAUAUGUUGGGUUUUUAAACAACUGAAGAGGAGGCUGCAAGGAGAAAUUUUUUAAUGCACAGAAGAUAUUAUGUCGGCCAUAUGAGAAUAAUCUGAUGAAGAUGAAGAUGAAGAGACGACAGCAGCCGGAGUUCAUGACUUGGUUUCUCUUAAUACAAUUAAUCUGCUCCAAGGAAACUUUCCUGUACGUUUUAUACACACAUAUUUCAAAAUUUUUGUUAUCAGUAGAAUCUCUAUAAACUAAUAGGGUUAGAACCAUUUAAAAUCUAUUAAUUAAAAGAGAUAUUAAAUAAUCGAUAAAUUAAUAAUUUAUUAGUUUACAGAGUAUUUACAACUCAAUUAACAUACAUUUAAUAACUAAACAUUCAAUGCACUUUACCGAUAUUGAAUAUGCAUUAAACUAUACAUUCAAUUAACCAAAAUAGUAAUUUCAUUGUACUUUUCUACUUAAUUAAAUAAUAUUCAUGUUACAUUAACCUAAUUAAAUGCAUUCAAUGAAUUAGAUUAAAAAUAAUUUAAUUCAUGUUAUUCAAUGUAUUUAACCAAAAAAAUAAAUACAUUGUAAUUAUCUAUGUAGUUAAUUAAAUAAUAUUCAUGUUAAUUAACUUAAUUAAAUGGUGUUCAAUGAAUUUGAUUAAAAAUAAUCUUUAUAUAAAUAAACACUAAGUCUUCUUUUAUUUUAUAUUAAAUAACUGAGACUUACAUUAAUACAUUAAAUUCUAUAAAGUACAUGUCUAGCAGACAAAUAACCCUCACAAACGAUAAAUAUCCUUACUCCACUCGUAUUUCGCAAGAAAAAAAAAUUUAUAAAUAUUUAACUCCCACAAUACUUUUAUGGGUCUAACCGCUGCCCUCACGCUUAUACGCUUGUGAGAGCAGCAGCCCAACUAUCAGGCCAAGGCCCAAUGGCCACAUUCUUCAAACCAGAAAAGAACUUUGAUUUCUGGCCAACCGUAACCAAAAUUAAUUAUAUGGGAUUGUGUCUAUAUCUAUACAUAUAGAAACAAGUAGCAGACAGUGCGGGCGUGGGUGAUUGGCGCUGCAAAACGAAUAAAUAAUCAUGCUAUUUCAGUAUAAAUAUUCACUACCGUACUGCAUACAAUAAAUCAAAUGAGAGACUUUUUGCCACUAUUUAAAGUUAAAAAAUUCAAGUAAGAAGACUCCACUUACUUUGGGUAAUAUCGAGAAUCACAAUAUUUGAGUCAUAAUUUCAGUCUUACACAUUAUAUGUCAUUUAUCAAUUAGAUAAAUGAUUUUUUUAAAGUUUGAUUGAUUUUCCACUUAUAUCACUUUUUAAUGAAACCUUUUAAUGCUAAACUAGAUUACAUUGUUAAAUUUUAAUGCAGAGAAUUAGAAUAUCCUUUCAUAGUCAGAAUAAUAAAAUGUAAAAAUGUAAAGUUCUCCAGCUUUUAGAUUUUUAUUUCUUUGCACAUCAUCAACCUACAAUAAAUAUUUUUUGGCCGGUGCUAAAUUACGUUUAAUGUAACUUGUGCCUCUCACAACAACAGUACCCGGUCCCACUAGUGGUACUGUUGCUAUGAGAGGGCGUGAGUUACGUUAAACGUAACUUAGACCCUCCCAUAUUUUUUUAUGUUGAGUGUCGUAUCAUUUUAUUUGACAAUUAUGAUAGUUCAAAUUUUCUUAAAAAUUCAAAUAUAGUUCAAAUUAACUGUCAGAUUCUUAAAAAUUAUAAUGCCUUUUCUUCUUGUCAGAGUUGAUAUCAUACUGAGUUAAGAUAAGAUUUAUUUUUUAAUAUAGUUAACGUCAAUUUUGUAUUACUAUAAACGUAUAAUGGUAAAACAUAGGUGUUUUUUGUCCAUUUUGUAAAUCAAGGAGGUCUACAAUUUUUUUUUUUGUUCGGGGCGGGGGGAAUCUAGGAGGUUUAAUUUUGGAUUAUCCUCUGAAUUGAUAGUCUUCAAAAUAACUCUCAAAUAAUUAUAAAACUCAAUCUACCUCUUGUUUUUGUAAAGAAGACAAAAAAUUUCAUUAAUUCACCCCAUUUUCCUUUAUCUUUUGAAUGAAAAUAGGAUAAGUUAAAGUUUGCAAUAGCUUAGAGAGUAUCUUGAAAAUUGUCAUUUCAUGAGGGGAGUAAUCCAAAAUUUUAUCCAUAUAGGUGUAAUAAAAGAACGAUAUAUAAUGCUUGCGUUUGGGUUAUUAAACAUUGGUGUUUUGUGUCCAUUUUGUCAAUCAAGGAGGUCUAAAUUUUUUUUUGGUUUUUUUGGGGGGGGGGGGGGGGGGGGGGGGCAAUCUAGGAGGUAUAUAAGAAUAUUUAAUUUUGGAUUGUCCAAUGAAUUGAUAAUCUUCGAAAUAACCCUCAAAUUAUUGUAAACCUCAAUCUACCUCUUGUUUUUGUAAAGUAGACAAAAAACUUCAUUAAUUUACCCCAUCUUUCUUUAUCUUUUGAAUAAAAAUGGAGUAAGUUAAAGUUUGCAAUAACUUAGAGAGUAUCUCAAAGAUUGUCAUUUAAUGAGAGGAGUAAUCCAAAAUUUAUCCAUAUAGGUGUACUGAAAGAACAAUAUAUAAUGCUUGCGUUUGGAUUAUUAUUCUAGCGAAGACUCUCCAAAGUAAUAUUCUCUAUAAAAAUAACUCUUAUAUAGUCAUAAAAAAUUAUGAUACCAAUUUGGAAUAAUUGUUAUUGGAGAAUAUAAUUAAUUACCUUGAUGCACUGCAGAUUUUCCUCUCAAUUACCGGACAUUCUGUUCUCUAAUUUUAUUUACUUUCCUGCUUUUAUUUCUUUAAUUUAGGGAUUGUACAGCUUUGCAUUUAGUUGCUUUCCUUUAUUAUUCUUUAGAAGUCAACUAGAAUUUUGUAUAUAAUUCCUUGUAUUUUAUGAUGUAAAAGUAACAAGAUGUGAUAGCAUUUUCCAGAACUUUCAUUUUCAUCAAUUGUAAAUAAGAAUAAAUUUUAUAUUGUAAUAAGUUAUAAGUUUUAUAGAUUUUUUUUCUUAAAUAACUUGCCUCCACAUAAUAAUAAUAAUUUGUAUAUUGCAAAAAAGUAUACGCAACAUUAAUGGCUUAAUAAGGGAUAAAUAUUUUUUUUGAAGUUACAAUAAUUUAUUCUUUAGAGUUGAUACCACAUCUUUGAACUUAAAGGUACAUAAUAACUCAUUAAUAUGAACACCUUUUUGUUGAUGCCAAAGUAUUUCUACCUUCUCAAGCGUGUUUAGAGAUUCAUUAAAUUGACAUUCUCCAUUAUGUAUUUUCCUCUACAUUGCUCAGGCUAAGGAUAAUCAAGUUUAAAAAAAAUUGAAUUAAAUAUCUACAAAGUUUUAACUUCUUUAUAAUACAUAAUAAAAUUAGAUAGUUCUAACAAUAUGAUUAUAAAGAGAUCUUACUGUAUUUUUUUUCUCUCUCUUCAAUUUUUUUUAAAGCAUUGACCUGUAGAAAUUUGAUUCAUAAUUAAAAGAUACUCUUCCCUUUUUCCUUUUUCCUUUUUCCUUUUUCGCUUAAACAAAAUUCAUUUCAUUUAAACGAAAUCAAAGAGUACACAAUAUACUUCUGCUGGAAAACCCACCAACCAAACUACAGUUUCAGUAUAUGUAAAAGCCAACUUCGCUAACAUAUGAGUUAUUAACUGUUUAGAGACUGUAAGAACAUUGCACGUUUACACAGUUACACCUAUCCCCUCCAAUUUUGAAUUUUAUAUCCGUUAUGAAUGUGACCUAACCUAGAUCAAAUGUGUUAAAUGGGCUUUUAUAAUUUGAAAUAGUACAUUCGAAUGAUGAAUUGACAACAUUAAAUAUUAUACAUUAUGUCAUUUUAUUUUAAAUAUUUAGAAAUUAUUCCUCGAUCACCUCGUAAAUUGUUUCUCUGUCACCUCGUAUUUAUAAAAAAAAUCUUGCUUGAUUUUGUUGGCAUUACACUUUCUUUUCUUUUUCCUAAAAAAAAAACGAAUUUCAUUUCAACCAAAUAUCAACGUGCACACAAUAUGUAGGCUGGAAAACCCUCCAACCAAACCAAAUUUCUGAAUAUAAAUGUAAAAGCCAGCUUUGUUAAUAUAUGAGUAGAAUAAUGUUACCAAUUAACUUGGAUCAAAUCUGUGGAAAUGAUGAAUUGACCACAUUAAAUGUUGUGCUAGUAUUUUUUUUAUUUAUAGAAUUAUUAUAUUUAUUAUUGUUAUUAUUGUUGUAAUUGUUACAAUAUAUAAUAAUAAUAGUACUUGUAACAAUUCAUUUAAAUUUUUUGACAAAAUAAGUAUAUAAAUGAAAAUACAACUUAUUCUAAUUCUAAUUCCUUUAAUUUAAAUAAAUAACUUAUUUUAAUUUUGAUUAUCAUUUCUCAUUCUAACUGCAGCAUCAAUUGAUAAAUGCAAGAUAGAUAUCUGUGAUUGUAUUGGAUGCAAUGUAUGAAAGAGAAUUUUAGCCACUAUUUCAAGUUGAAAUAGUCCCCACCCUUUUAGAAUUAUACACUAUAUCAAUUCAAACUUCAAUUAAAUUUAUACCAAACUAAGCUUUUAUUUAAUGAUCUUUUAUCAGUUAUCAAUUACUUAUUGAGUUAAUAUUUAAUUUUUUUAAUUUAUAAGUAAUGUCAAUUUUAUGUUACUAUAACGACAUAGCAUAAUAAUAAAAUAUGGGUUUUUGUGUCCCUUUUUUAGAUUAACGAGGUCCACAGUAUAUUGUUACAAAACUUGGAGGUAUGGAAUAAUAAAAUAAUAACAUAUAGUGCAUGCGUAAUGUCUUAUUAUUCUCAGUGCCGAUGUUAGGAAUUCAAUCUAGUAGGGAUUAAGUUUAAAUAACAAUGUAAUUUAAAUUUGGUCAAUAAAUAAAAUAAAAAUAUAUUAAUAUAGUUAAUUUAAUAUAUUUAUAAUUGUCUUUGACAUGCUUUUAUAUGUUGAAAAUAUUGAAAAAUAAUCCCAUUAUCAAGAUUGCAAAAUAUAUCGUUUUCUAUGUAAACAAUUAAUUUCUCUCAUUCAAUUCGCUAAUGAUUUUUCACAAAAUUCUUUGCUGAAAAUGCUCUUUUUAUUAUAGUUAUGGCAACUGAUAAAAUCAAUAAUAACGUCAUCAAUAGAUAAAUUGACGAGUACAAUUUAUUCUUCUUAGUAUCAACUAUUUUUUUUACUAGUUCACUAAUCCGUUUAUUCCUGAAAAUUUGUUAUCAAAACCUACAUCUAUGAUGUAAACAUCGAGUUGAAUUUCAAGAGGCACAAGAUCCAUUGAAAUUAAAUUAAUUGGAUAAAACUCAAUAAAAUGAAUUGUUUCUGUUCUUUUAUAUAAGGAGAGUUAGGGUAAUAGGGAUGUCAAAAUAACAAUAUUUCUUUAUGAAUUGGAGGUGUAAAAACAAAUAUCUAAUAUUUUAAUUAUUUUUAAAUUUUAGCAAGUACUUUUAUAGUAAAUCAAAUUGAAAGUCUGUAGCUUUUGAAAAGUCAAAUAGGGACUUCAGCUACUCUGAGCGCCAGUGUACGGUACCACCGCUGAUUAUUCUUACUCAAUAACUACUGUUCACAAACUUAAAACCUUGCUUUUAAAAACUUGAUUAGGAUAAAAUCUUAUUCCGUAAAAUUACAUAUUUUUUUGUCUCACAAAUGCAAUACUCUAUGUUGGAUAACGGAUUUUUAUUUUGAUUUUUUUUAAUUUAAGACAAAAAAUUUCAUUUAAUUACUUUAAAACCGCCACUUUUUUUUUUUUGUAUAAAUAAUGCUAUAGGCUCCAGCGAUUUUGCACAUCUGACGAAAAAGUUUCAUUUUCCAAGUAAAAAAAAAAAAAAAGCUUCAGAAAUAUUCCCUCACAGUAAUAUUUCUGACAAAAAAAUCGGACAGAAGUUGUUGAACGAGGGAGAAAAUUUAGAAUAACAGCAGAUUUAGGAUACGAAGGAGAAGAUCCAGAGGAAGAUGAAGAUCGCGAGAAAGAUUAAUAUUAUCGAAUCAGCAAUUUACCAGAAACCAUUUGAGGUGAGAAAUAAAAAUUUGAAUUUUGAUGGUACCGAUUCCCGAUUUUGUUAGAUCAAUUUUUUUUUGUUUGUUUUUGGCGGUAGUGUUAUGGCCGUUGAUGGCACAACGACACAGGCGAUGAAUUUUUAUUUUUUAAUAAAUUAAAUAUUAAUUAAUUUUUGGUGUAACGGUAGUUUUGGAAAUUUAUUUUAUAUUAAAGGAUAUUUUGGUAUUUAAGUUAAAAGUUUUAAAAAAAUGACAUUUAUGCCCUCAAGGUUUGGUGAAAUGCUCAUAUUGAACCCGCAGAGGACACCAAGACUCCUUUUCUACUGUAAUAUCCUUUGGCUCCAGUAUCCUCAAAAAAUUGAUUCGAGUGUUUUAAAAGAAAUAAAAAUAUAAUGUUAAAAUAAAUAUAGUAAUAUAUACAUUUUAAAAUAAAAAUAUUUAAUCAUUAUAGAAUAUGUUAGAUAUAUUUUAUUAUAUUAAACUUAAUUUGAUAAUAAAUGGAAAUAUAAUUUAAAAUAAAUAUUUUAAAUUUUAAAUUAUUUUGAAUAUCAUAUAAAAUAAGUUAAUAUUAUUAAUAUGUGAGAUAUGUUGAAUUAAUAGUAAAAUCUAUUUAAGCUAAAGAUUUAUUUCAAAUAUUUUAAUAAAUAUAAAUAAAAUAUUUUUAUAUUUUUAAAUUAUUUUAUAUAUUAAAAAUAUUUUAAUAUUUAGGCAAAGUAAAUUAAUAAAUAUUAUAUUUGCAUUUAUUAAAAAAUUUAAGGCUAAUUUUUUUUUAGCUAUCAUAUUCAAAGUAUAUUAAAAUAAAAAAAAGAUUUUAUGUCCCUCAUUAAAAACUUGAGAGUUUGUUUGAUUAUUUUCUCAAAUCUUAGAGGUGUAGCUAUCUUUUUUCCAAAAUUUUAUUAUCAAAUAAUCAAAUUUCUAAAAGUUGUUGCAUUUUUUUUUAUAGAAGUUAUAAUUAGCUUAGCUGCUUUUAAGAAUCUACAAAAUCUAAUUACUUGAAAAUCAAAUUAUUUAAUAAUCACUUUUGAAUUGAAUUUAACAACACUCUUUGGAUGCUCGUUGUCGAAGCAUGUCUUUACCUGGCCUGGUGCUCACCCUACACAGCCGAAAGGCAAGGCCUGUUUGGAAAGUUAGACUAUGAAGGAAAUUAAUUGAUAGAUAGUAUUUGAUUAAUUUCAUCUAUUUUGUAUUUAGGCUCCGUUUGAUACAAUUUUUUAAAUAGAGCUUAUUUAAUUAGAGUUUUAAUUUGUUAGUAGAGCUUUUGUAAAUAGAACUUUUACUAUAAAAAAAGUUUAAUUGUUUGGUUGUCAAUAAGAGUUUUUAUUAAAAAUUUAUGAAAUUACUUUAAUAGGUAAAUUUUUUAAAGUUAUAUUAUGAAAAUAAUAAAUAAGAUUGUUAAAUAAGUAGAGAAUAUUUUAGAUGUUUUGAUAUUUAAAAAAAAAAUUAACCUCUAAUUUGAGCUUUUGCUAGCAGAGUUAAGAGUUAAAUAACUUCUUUAAGUUUCAAAAUCUCUAUUAGAAAAAUAAUCAAAUAACAACAAAAAUUAUAAUAAGAACUUAUAGGAUUAAAUAAAUACUUAUGAACAUUAAAUAAGUCAUACCAAAUAAACACUUAUUAGUUGGGGCUUUUAACUUAUUUUCUCAAAUUUCAAAUUCCGGAAGAAGAAUAGGCUUCUCAAAAGGAACUUCCAAUUAGGGCUUUUAACGCAGAACCCGAAGCAAGAUAUUUGUUUAGGAAAGGUCAGUAGUAAUUAUAUGUUGGGUUUUUAAACAAUUGAAGAGGAGGCUGCAAGGAGAAAUUUUUGAAUGCACAGAAGAUAUUAUGUCGGCCAUAUGAGAAUAAUCAGAUGAAGAUGAAGAGACGACAGCAGCCGGAGUUCAUGACUUGGUUUCUCUUAAUACAGUUAAUCUGCUCCAAGGAAACUGUCCUGUACGUUUUAUACACACAUUUCAAAAUUUUUGUUAUCAGCAUAAUCUAAUAGGGUCAUAACCAUUUAAAAUCUAUUAAUUAAAAGAUAUAUUAAAUAAUCGAUAAAUUAAUAAUUUAUUAAUUUACAGAGUUAUUUACAACUCAGUUAAUAUACAUUUAAUUACACAUUCAAUGCACUUUACCGAUAUUGAAUAUGAAUUAAACUAUACAUUCAAUUAACCAAAAUAGUAAAUUCAUUGUACUUUUCUACUUAACUAAAUAAUAUUCAUGUUACAUUAACUUAAUUAAAUGCAUUCAAUGAAUUAGAUUAAAAAUAAUUUAAUUCAUAUUAUUCAAUGUAUUUAACUAAUCAUUUAACCAAAAAAUAAAUGCAUUGUAAUUAUCUAUGUAGUUAAUUAAAUAAUAUUCAUGUUAAUUAACUUAAUUAAAUGGUGUUCAAUGAAUUUGAUUAAAAAUAAUCUUUAUGUAAAUAAACAUUAAGUCUUCUCUUAUCUUAUAUUAAAUUACUUGAACAUUUACAAUUACUUCUCAUUUGAAAGGUGUUCAAAAAUCAACCAUGACAGAUGAGAUUCCUAAAGCAUUAUGCUAGUAUAGUAAAGAGCACUCCAUAUGCAAGCAGAAAAGAAUUGCAACAAUGGUUUUUAAAAAUUUUCACUUAAAAUUAGUCAAGGAACAAUGUCAAAUACACUUAAACUAUCAUCAAAAUAUCUUUGGAUUGACUUAGCAAAGGGUGGUCAUGCUAAGCGGCACAAACCAUCAAAAUUUUCAAACAUGGAGAAGAUUGUUUAUGAAUGGUUUCUUGAAUACUAAGAUUGUGAAUAUAACAGGAGAACUAAUCUUAGAAAAGGCAAGAGAGACUAUGAAAAUAUUAAACCCUAAAGAGACUUUAGAAUUCAACUUUUCUCUGGGUUGGCUUGAGAAGUUCAAGUUAGACAUGGUAUUAAGUCAUUUUGUUGUUUUGGGGAAAGUGGAUCAAUUGAUACACAAGACAUGGAGAACCAAUUGGAGUCCAUAAGAGGAAAAAUAGAUUAGUUUGCCACGAAAGAGGUUUUCAAAAUGGAUAAAACAUUAUUGUUUCAUAGGUUACAAGCAGAUCACUCUCUGGAAACAAAAGAAAGCAAGACAAAGAAAUGAUUACAGUAAUCUACUGUAAUAAGGAUGGCUUAGAAAAAAAUUCCUCUGUGGAUCAUUGGAAAGUAUGCGAAACACGUUGCCUCAAAAUGUAAAACAUGAAGAGGUUCAAUUGUCAAUACCGAGCCAACAAAAGAUCAUAGACGACUAAGGUGCUUUUUGGGGAAUAUGUUCGAUGGCUUGACAGAAAAAUGCAAGGGACAAAAAUUCUCCUGGUGAUAGAUAAUUGUCCAGCCCAUACAAAAACUAUUGAAGGAUUACAAAAUAUUGAGCUAUUUUAUUUGCCACCUAACAUGGCAUCAAAAAUCUAAUCAUGUGAUGCAGGGAUAAUAAAGCUUUCAAGAUGCAUUAUCGUCGCCGACUUUACUUAAAAUUUAAUUGCUUAUUUCUUAAUAGAGAUUAUUAAUUUAUAGAGGUUUUACUUAUUUUACACACAGAAGGAUUUGAAGGAAAUGCACAUAUGACCAAGGACGAAUAUUUGGCCAAUCUUAGACGGGCGCAAGCUUUUUUAUUACAUGUACAGGAAAUAAAACUACCGGUAAAAUCUUCUCGACGUUUAUUAUAUAUGUAUCUGUAUGCAUUUAUUGGUUAUGGCUAAUUAAUUUGGUCAAGUUUCAGAAAAAUUAUAGGCUUCUCGAAAGGAAUCAGAGUGGAUUCUCUAGGUCAUUGAAUUUUGAGAUAGACUGAUAUUCCACUUAAUCUCUGUCUGUAUCUUCGGCUUGAUAAAGUAUUCUGUAUCUCUGUGUCGUACAUAAAAUAAUUAAGGCUUUUGGCACAGCAACCCAGACUAUAAGAAAUGGCAAGCAUGGAUGGGACAAUAAAAUAGAGGAAACAAAGCAAUCUUACUAAAGCAAGGCCUGUUCCAGGCUUAGUUUUCAAUGAUAUUGCGCUAGAUAUCGAGCCAGCUGCAAUGCAUUACCGAUAUCUUGCCGAUGUACGAAAGAAUAUCAUGAUGAUAAACGCCAUUUAAAAACACAACAAUUUUCAAUUAAUUGUAAGGAUUUUGACUCCUGGCAAGCUGCAAUAAUUAGUUAACUAAUUCGAAGAGUUUGUUUCACAAUUAACUAGGGUAAUUUUCGGAUACCUCCCCUGAGGUUUACCCCUGCUACACUUAGAGAGAAAGUAUGAAUAUAUUGACAUAUAGCACCCCUGACGUAUAUAAGCGUUAGGGAGCCGUUUGGUUUGAAAGGGUGAUAACGUAAUUGUAAAAUUUUACAAUUUUUAAAUGGUUAAGAAACAGUAAACUUAUUAAACUAAACACUUGCAUCCUGCACAUGUUGGGAAAAUAUGCUCUUUAAAAGCAUAUGUGUUUAUUUAAUUGUAAUAAACUAUUUUUCUGAUUAAUAAAAUAAAUGAGGUAUUUUAUUCAAAUAUCUUAAUUGCAUUAAUACUUGUAUUAAAGUCUAUUUAAUCAUAUUAUAUGUAUUUAUGUGAUCACCAUGUGGAUUCACAGAAGACAUAAAUACAAGUUAUCUUAUGAUUAAAUAAAUUUAGUUCGCAGUUGAUAAAUAAAGUUGGGCACUUUAUUUAGGUAUAGACUGUAAUAAAUUCAUUGAAUGAUUUGUCUUAAUCAUGUAUGAAUUUAUUGAUGUAGUACGACUACAUUGAACAGGAUCACAUAUGAGAUUUAAUUAACUUUGUAAUAACUGUCAGACUUAUUAAAUCUCAUAGGCGUUGAUUUUACUGUAAUCUUAAUCUUGAGUUAAUUAUGAUUUCAUGAUUGUAAUUGUUAUUCCAUUUGAGUUACCAAUGGGCACGACACAUCCUUGUGGUCAAGAUUACCCGGUAUCUUGGUGGGAGCAAUUAUGAGUAUUGGAGUUAUGGAUUAACAAUAUAGAAUUUGUACAACACAUCUCUUGAUGGGUUUUCGGCACUUGAUCAUAGAAUUCUCUGGCCAGAGUGUGUCAACAUAUUUAGUAUGUUGAAAAUGAUCAUUAGAGAAAACCAGUAAGGAUCAAGGAAUAAGAUGUUAUUAAAUUGAUUGGACAGUUGAGAUAUCAAUUUAAUUAACGAUGUGGUACAAAGGAUUGUACAGUAAAGAAAUCAAUGUGGCUUGAGACGAAUUAUUAUUCGAGCAUACAAUUAUGGAAGUCAGUUCCAAUCUUUUAGUGGAGUAGAUUUGGAAUUAAAUAAUUGGGCUAGUUUAAUUACAGGCCUAAUUAUUGUAGCCACUAUUGUAUGUUCCCAAAUGAUCCCCGGGUUAGCUCAUUUAAUUGACUGCACCACUACUGGACUAAUAAGUAAGAUAACUAGCUAUUUGGGUCAAAAGCCUAAAUAUAUCAUUUAGUGGGAGGCUCCAUUUAAUUAACUUUUGUAUAAGGGGCCUUAUGUUAUUUUACAAGGUGGGUCCCCUAUUGAAAAAGAAAAUAACGUGAGUUUUAUUUAGGGCAUUAUUUGGAGCCUAGGGUUUUCACUAAAGGGAGAUAUAUAAGGCUUAUUUUCUCUAAAGAAAAAAGGAAGCCACUUUAUACAAAUCGGAGAAUAAGAUUUUUCUCUCUAUUGUUGAGAGAAAAAUUUUCUCGUGCUAGUUGCUUUGGUAGUGAUAACGGCGCCCACACGUCAAGUGCAGAUCGAACCUGCGUCAUAACCUGGAAGAUCAUUGGUGACAGUUCGUGAUCUAACAAGCGUGGUGGUGACGGAUCGUGAUCUAACAGGAGUGGUGGUGGCGGAUCGUGAUCUAGGAGCCUAAAUCACUUCAGCGGAAAAAGCCAACUCGGAUUUUCAAGGUACGAUUUCUAGAAUACGAAUUCUUAUAUAUUAUAUGAGAGCGAUCUUCAAAAGGUUUUAUAAAAAUUUAAAAACCUGAUUUUUCCCCAACAGCACAAUGGCUGCUGAACGAAAGCAUUGUACAUACAGAAUGCACAGUGACAAAGCAUGGAACACAAUGAAAACCAAGGGGAUGGCGACCCAUCUCUACUUCUUCUCAUGGGUUGAGGCGACCCAUCUCUACUUCUUCUCAUGGGUUGACUUUCAUUCCCAUAUAAUACCCACUGGUUUCAACUUAUAUGAACUUAAAAGAUACAGUGAGAAAAAUUCUCUGAGAUUAAGCAUGUCAAAAACUAAAUUUCGGCCACAACCGGCAUCUGAGCAGUCAAUCAAUGAAGAACGCACCAGGUGUGUAUUUCCAUAAAAUCUUUAAGCUUAAUUUUGGUUUAAUUUAUUCUGGGAUUCUGUUCAAUAGGCUGCUAGUUUAGUUGACUAGUGAGCUUUUCUGUUACGAGUUCAAUUCUUAUUUGGAUGGUGCAUGUGCUAAUGUAGAAGAUCCCGUAAUUGUUUAGAACUUGUAUAAGAGGUUUAGGCUUUGUCAUGAGAGAAGGUAAAAUUAAAAUUGGCAAGGCCUGGGCUGGAACUCAGAGAUAUUAUUCCAUCAUUUCUUUCGGCAAGCAUAGAGUAGAUAUUUUGGGUACAAUGUUGGGAGGUUUUCUUUCUGGUUAAUGCUUGUUCUUUCGAACUGUAAGAAAUAAUGAUAAUUGGAAUAAGUUUUUAUGAGUACACAAUCAGAAUAUGUGGUUCAUAUGGCUGGUACAAAGAGCUUCACAAGGCUAGAAUGUAAUACUUGCGACUAGCCAAGGUCUGUGGUUCAUAUGCCAGUUUCAGGAACUUGCUGCAAUUGGCAAAAUUGAAAGGAUUGCUUAUUGCAUUUUUUAUAUUCUUGUUUGAUUUUAGGAAUUUAACACUGUAUCAUAAGCAAAGUUACUGAGAUUUACACAUUUGUAUAUGCCCAAUAUGCCCAAAUACUAAUAAUAAUAGCAUUAAUUCACUAAUCAGUUAUGUAAUAUCAGAGCUUAGCAUUCUGUGAACUACUAUUAUCCAUAUAUUUUUGUAAAGACUAGUUAUUUUUGUCAUUGUUUAUGCAGCUUGCUAUACUUUGACAUUGAGGCAGUGAUAGAUGGUGAAGUUUUUUUCUGUUGGUUUAGCUAUUCCAGAGCAGUAUAGCUUGCACAAACUAUGGGUUGAUAUCAGGGAUGCUUGUUGGGGUCAUCCUAUUAGGAAUGCAAAUGGGAUAAAGGUUCAAGUAAUAUUUCCUUCGUAGACUGAGUAGCAAGCAAUUUUGACUGACAAAGACUUGUUAGAGGCAUUUGAACAACUUAGAGUAAAGGGGUGCAAUUGGGCUAGGUUUGCAGUGACUCCUAAGAAAGUGCUUCCAGAUAUGAAUAGGGUUGAAAGUUCAGCAGAUAAGUGCACUCAGCAAUUGAAUAAUGAUGUGGAAAGUGGAAAUGAAGAGUUGUAUAAUUGUUAUAACGCAUCUAUAGAUGAAUUUGAAGAUGAUUAUGAGACUGAUCCACAUGGUUCUGAUCUGGUUGGUUCUAAUCCAGAUGAUUAUAAAGAGGAUUAUGAGACUGAUCCACCUGGUAAUGAUCUUGAUGACUAUGAAUCUGGGGAUGACAGUGGAGGUGAGUCAGAUGAUGAUGUUGUCCAAGAACAAACUUGCAUUAAAUAUGAAAAAAAUACAGGUGGCUUUCAGUUUAAUUCUGUUGGUGAUGAGAUAUUGUUAAAGCUUGGACAGCUGUUUGUCAAUGUGUGGGAGUUCAGAAAAGUGUUGAAGGUAUUUGCAAUUAGAAAUGGAUUCAGACUGAAAAGGUUGAAGAAUGAAAAAACAAGGGUGACAUGUGUGUGUGCUGCACCAAAUUGCACUUGGAGAAUCCACACAAGCCCUAAUUGGAACAUGAGAUCAUUUCAGAUUAAAACCUACUGCCCUAAGCACACUUGUCCUAGAGUUGAUGACAAUUAUAAGGCAACUUCAGAUUGGAUAGCAGCCACAUAUCUACAUAUUUCAAGGCCAAUCCUGAAAUCAAGAUUUAUGUUAUUGCUGCUGCUUUGAUGCAGAGAUAUGGAAUUGAAUGCAAUAAUCAGAGGUUGUACAGGGCCAAAAGGAAAGCACUUGAGUCACUUGGUGAAGACCAUAAGACCAGUUAUAGUAAAUUAUUUAGGUACAUGCAUGCUUUGUUAAAUUCCAAUCCUGGUUCCACUGUCUCUAUUGAAAGGGAUUGGAUUGGUGGUGAAUUUCCCACAUUCAAGAGGUUUUUCUUCUGUAUUGACAGUAGUAGAAGGGGAUUUUUUUAAGGGUGCAGGCCAUUCAUUGGGGUUUAUGGCUGUCACUUAAAAGGACCGUAUAAAGGUGUACUCCUUACCGCUGUCAGCAUUGAUGCAAACUAUGGAAUUUAUCAUUUGGCUAUGUGUGUGGUUGACAGUGAGAAUAAUGAGUCUUGGCUGUAUUUUUUGGAAAAAUUAUAUGAUCAAAUCGGCUGUAAUGGUGGUGAAGGUUUAUGCUUCAUGAGUGAUAGGAAAAAAGGUAUCCUCAAUGCAUUAGAAAGAGUAUUUCCUCUGUCGUUCAAGAGGUAUUGCUGUAGACAUAUCUAUGCAAACUUCAAGAACAAGUUUCCUGGGUUGUUAUUGAAAAAAGUUUCCUGGAGGGCCUGUAGGAGUUCUAGUGCUGCUGACUUUCAUUCCCAUAUGGAAGAAUUGAAGAAUAUAACUCCCGAUGGUUAUGAAUGGCUAAUGAAAAUUCCCAUUGCAUGUUGGGCAAAGCAUUUGUUCUCUCCACACACAAAAUGCAGUCAUGUCACUAAUAACUUAACUGAAUCUUUUAAUAAUUGGAUUAACAACUACAGAGGUUUGCCAAUUGUGAGGAUGUUUGAGGAGAUACGAACGAAAAUUAUGCGCUUAAUUCACAAAAGGCAUGAGGCAGCCCUUUGAUGGAAUGAUGAGCUACCGCUAGUUGUAAGAAGAAAGAUAGUUGAGGGAAGACAAGCAGCAAGAUCAUUGUAUAUUAUUUUUGGGCAUAAUGAAACUUUCGAGGUAGUUGAAGAUGCGACAAAGAUUAUUGUCGUUGAUUUGCCGAAAAAGAAUUGUGACUGUGGUGAAUGGGGAAUAUCUGGACUUCCUUACAAACAUGCCAUUUGUUGCAUAGAUGCAAAGAGAUACCCUAUAGAAGACUUUAUACAUCUAUAUUUGAAAAAAAUAGCUUUUAUUGGGACAUACAAACAUCAGUUUACACCAGUUCCAGAUGAAAAAAAGUGGCCACUUGAACUUCACGACAAUUUGCAGCCACCUACAGCCAUAAGAUCAGCUGGCAGACCUCAAGCUAAAAGGAGGAAAUAAGUAGAUGAAUCUUCAACAUUUAAGCGAAGUUCAAGUUUGAGGUGCUCUCAUUGUCACCAGUAGGGACAUAACAAGAGGACUUGCCCAAGGGCAACUCGUGAUAAUGAGAAGAAAAGGGCUAAGAAAAGGGUUAAGGGCAAGGUAAAACAAAUGUAUUGAAAUUAUUCUUAAUGAAAACUGCUGCAAACACAUGAUUUAUGAACUAAUCACUAAUUUUCAUUUUCUAGGCACCAAUUAGUAAGACCAACUCACAGGAUUUAGGCAAUCCAUCUAGCCAAACGCAGUCAUCUGCCCAUGAUAAUGGUAAUAAUGAUUUUGGAAACAUUUCAAGUUACAUAAUAUUCUUAAUUUUGUGGUUUUUAUACUGAAUAUGCAAUAUGCUUGCAGGGCAUUUGACUCAAGAAUGAUUACUAAAGUUAAAGCAUCCAGCAGAUUCAAGAACAUAGAGCUAAAAGUAUGUGACAAGACAGAGCACAUAUACAACCCUAUACUCUAUUUUUUUAAGGGGAUUAGAUUAUGCAACACCUUUGAAGUUUCCAGAGCAUCAAUAGAUGGUGUAUCAUCUGUUACUCACCUAACAUAUAGGUUUGAGUUCUUUUGAUUUAUAUUUUGCUGAAACGUAGAGACUUUCAUACUGCCAAAAAUAGGUCAUAUAUGACUGUCUUGGCUUAGUUACAUGAAACUAUGAUGAGAGAUAUAACUAUAUAUAUUUAUAUGCUGUGCUUUUGUCAUUUGUAAAGGCUCGGUGUGUUGUAGCCAAAAAAUGAAUGUUCAAACUGAGUUUCUUCUGGAAUGCCAAUUAUCCAUAUGGCCAUGCUUUGUGGUUUCAUAUUAUAUAUUAUGCUUUGAUUUAAAUUUAUUGUGGUUGCUUGUUGUUUUAAUGUUUUGAUGAUAUUGAGAUGGAGUUAAGUGAGCUUGGAGUUGAAUAAACUUGAAUGAGAUAAUGAGCAACUGAUUAAAGCUUGUACUGUUCUAAAUGUCUCAUGUCAUGUUGUUUCCUGGAAAGCUGUAAAAUAUCUCUCCCUUCCAAUUUCUUUUUGGUGGCUGGUAGCGGCUGUCAAUGUUGCAUAAUGCCUACUUUGCAGCUAAAAUUACACCCACUAUUAAAACUAUAAUAGCACAAAUGAAAAAGAACAUGGUCAGGAAACAUAUUUUCAUACCACUGCAUUUCACCAUUGUUUUAUGUGUUUUUUGCAUCAGCAACUUCAAAUCUGUCAACUCUUUUUGCAUGUUCAGCAGCAACUCAUAAUUUCCUUGACAUGUUCUUACACCUUCAAGUAUUUCACCUUUGUUGAAAUCAUUAGGGGAUGCCAUCCAGAACUUGAAGUAGCCGCAGCCAUGUCUGUUGUCCAUACAGCAAUAAUAUAGCUUGUUUGGGUUGUCAUCCGAUUCCGAAAUCUUCACACUUGCUCUUCUGUUGCACUUACAUAUCUUAUUUGCAAAUUGAAUGAGGUUGCCAUUAAUCUCAUCCCUCCAUCCUCUGCAUUCACGGCUGCUGGAUCUUGUUGUUUGUUGUGAGCUUGCUGAAUCCAUAACAAGCAUUAGAUAGUGGUGAAUCUUGGCAAAAAGUGAGUGUUAUUUGCUCUUAAAUACAGCUCAAGAAGGCUGAUAUUACCGUUGGGUUGUUCUAACGGUAAUAUCAGCCUUGCUUUGUUGCUUUUAAAUUGUUGAAGCCUUGCUUUGUUGCUUUUAAAUUGUUGAAAUGUAAGUCAUUCAGCAACUGUAAAUACAUUUUUUGAAGGGUAUCUUAGCAUUUCCAGCAAUCACAUGAAUUUUGUCUCAUUGACAUUUGUUUAUUGUCAAAUUAAGUUAUUAUAAGAGUCUAAUAUGAGCCUUGUCUUUGUUCUUAUGUACUUGGCGCCAAGAAGCAAGGGAUGAUUUGACAACUCUGUAAGGUAAGACCAAUUGCCAGUUCUUGCACUGUAGAAUGAAGGGCAUUAUUGAAUUUUUAUUGUCAAACCAAAUGGCUCCCUAACGCUUAUAUACGUUCAGGGGUGCUAUAUGUCAAUAUAUUCAUACUUUCUCUCUAAGUGUAGCAGGGAUAAACCUCAGGGGAAGUAUCCAAAAAUUACCCCAAUUAACUACGUCCACUCUUUUUUCUUUCUUUAUUUUUUUUGGAGAAAGAAAGAAGAGCAAAAUUGAUUAAAAUAAUACAGACAAUAUCUCACAAUUAUAAUUUUUCUUUAUUGACGGACUAACUCAAUUAGCACAUUAACACACGAUAGUUUCUUUUUUUAUUAUUAACCAAGAGAAAGUAUAUGGACAGCUGAUAAAAAUACAAUCCAUUCAAGAUUACAAUUAUAGUUCAUUCAGAUUUCAUACGUGCUUUCAUAUUAUGGAAAUACACUCUAGCUAUUUCAAUAUCACAUCACGUGAUUCUCAUAUCAGUGUUGCAAUAAUACAAUCUGGAGACAAUAUGAUAUUUUAUGUUGUCGAAAUGAUUAUUUGUGACAUUAUUAUUACCAAAACAAAUGAUUUUCACAAAAUAACAGCACUUCAAGUUGUAGCUUUGUUAUGUUUCUAAAUCAGCUGUAGCUGCUAUUAAAAAAAAAUCUACAUUUCUCAAAUAGUAUUUUAAUUUUGUACACCUGAGAUUAGGUAAUAUUCAUCCAUUUGAUAUUGGUAUAGGCCAAUAAGUAAAUCCCCAAGGUAUAAAUUAAGUUGAUGUAUAUACAUAAUAUUCAAUAAAUAAAUGUCACUUCACAUAAAUACUUAGAAAUUAUCCAAUAAAUAAAUGUCAUUUCACAUAAAUUCUUAGAAACUGUUCUCAUAUUUGUUAGAAGGGUGGGAGUAUUUGCACUCAAUCAAAUUCUUCAAGCACUAUUUAUUUUAAAAAUAUUUUUAUUACAAAAAUAUCCUUUCAUGAAAUAACUAAAAAGAACAUAAUUACUUUUAAAAAAAAAUUUACACACCCAUUUGUUAUAAACCCUAAAUCUUUACUUUCUUUAACAAUUCAUCAUCUGAGGCUCAUGAAAAAGAUACAAAACUGAAGUUGUAAAUUCAUGGUUGGUGUAUGGAUCUAAACCUCAAUGCUUUUACCAAUGCGUUUAUUUUACAUCUCACCAAUCACAUUAAUUUAGAAAAAAUAGAUUCGUUAAGUUAUAACUUAAAAUUCAUCAAUGUAUAACUUAAAAUUCAUCAAUGAAAAUUCAAUCAGCAAGAAUGAAUAUUCAUAAAGGGAAAAAGCUAAACAUUCAUGAAAGGGAUAAACAAUUGCUGCAACUCUUGGCUAUCGUGUAAGUUACUCAUAUUUUUUUUAACAAAAACUGUUAUCAAUUAAUAAUACACCUAUAAAGCCACAAAAUUUGAAGUAGUCGUGACCUCUUUCUCCAAAUCUUAUCUUCUACGUUUAUUUUAAGAAAGCAAAGCCAAGAGAAAAAAAACAAAGAGAACAAAGAAGAAGAAGAAGAAUGCUGUGGGUGUUGAAAAAAAUAAUCAUGGUUAUUUUUUAAAUUUAACCAAGUGUGCAUGAUAAAUAUUUAAUUUUUAAUUUUUACAUUUGAGUGUUAAGAGUAAUUAAGUGUACAGAGUAAGUUUUAGAGUGGAAAUAACCUUACUAACGUCAAAAUCAAACAACUCAACCGUUUGAAAAUGGCCGUUGAAUAUUAGUUUGUAAAUUAAUUGAAUUAAACGUGAGAAAUUGCUUUUGCAGCAAAAGCUUAAUUAAUCCAACCCCUUUGUUACUUCUACAUAUAUUUGCAUUAUUUAUUCUUUCUUUUGAUUCCUGUUCAUAAAUUAAGCGAUAUUUUAUAAUAACAGAGACCAUGAUCAGUAGCAAUGUGUCAAGCAAGAAUGCUAAGAUCACAAGGCUUUUUCAUCAGUAUACAAUUCUUUUAAGCACAUUACAACCUCUUCCGUUAUCUGAAAUGUUCGGGUUGAUCAUUACAAUUUUUCAUCAGCUCUGCCAAGAGCAGUCCCUGCAAAUCAAAAGUAACAUGUUCUCGAGUUUCGUUGAAGGCAAGUUAAGCUAAUUCAUCAGAACUUGUGACAUUAAUUUUAAAUGACUUUGUUGAGACUCCAAAAGGAUUGGGCAAUUUUUUCAAGAUUGGCCGCAAGUUAAAGACAUGCAUGGUGGCCUGGAUGGUAGUCAAAUGCUUAGUAUCUUCACGUCAAAGAAAUCUAAGCAAUGUAGUGAAGAAAUAGCUUCUAAUCAGAACAGUGGAACUACAUGGUUGAAAAUCAAUCGUAGACAGCACUAUAUGUAAAACAACAGUUUGUUUUUUUUUCCUUUUUUUUUUUUCUUAAGAUAAGAAUGGAUGGAGCCUAAAUAUAAGUCUUAACACUAACUUCUUCAUAAGUUGAACUCAAGUUUUGGAAUUAUUAUUAUUAUUAAUUGAUGCACCUACUGAACUUCGAAUCUAUAGAAGACCUACUUCUUAGAAAGGCCGCUUCUUACCAUUGAUGUUAGACCUUGGCUUCGAGUUGAACUAAAUUUAGUAGCCAAAGAGACCGGUUGAUGGGUCACUUUCAUUUGAUAGGUGUUCCAACGCAAAGCCAAUUAUUCUAUGCUCUCAAAUUUCGUAUUGACGAUGUUGUCACUAUCAAAUUAUACUAAUAUUCCCACUAAAUAAACAACACUUGAAGUUCAACUUCUAUUAUCAUUUCAAAAUAAGAUUUAAUUAUUUUUAGAUAUAUGAACAAUAUAAGAUUAAAUUUUCUUUAUUUAAAAUUAUGAUUUAAUUUUUCAUUUAUUGAAUAUAUUCAAUACAAUAAUGUGAAAAAUAAAUAUAUUCUCAUCCAUCUUAUUAUUGUAUUCGAUGAAUGCACUAGACAAAAACUUAAGUCAUAAUUUUAUGUUGAGGAACCAUCAUCCAUUAUAUAAAGAUUAUAUAGUAUUGAACUGUACUAUGCCUAAAAAUCUGCAAAAGUGGUCUCCACAUUCUUUUUUUUUUUUUUUUAAUACUAGUUGUGCACCAGAUUAAUGCAUUGCACAAAUAUUUACAAUUGUUAUAUAGCAGAUAUUAAACUGAUAUUUACAAUCAGAUAUACAUAACUGAAACUUACAUUAUUAUAUUAAAUUCUAUUAAGUACAUGCCUAGCAGACAAAUAACCCUCACAGACGAGUGAUAUCUUUACUCUACUCGCAUUUCGCAAGAAAAAAGAACUUAUAAAUAUUUAACCCCACAAUACUUUUGUGAGGACUUGAACCGCUGCCCUCACGCUUGUGAGAGCAGCAUGGCCACAUUCUUCAAACCGGAAAAGAACUUUGCUUUCUGGCCAACCGUAACCAAAAUUAAUUAUAUGGGAUAAUGUCUAUAUCUAUACAUAUAGAAACAAGUAGCAGACAGUGCGGGCGUGGGUGAUUGACGCUGCAAAACGAACAAAUAAUCAUGUAUUUCAGUUUAAAAAUUUACUACCGUACUGCAUAUAAUAAAUCAACAGAGAGACUUUUUGCCGCUAUUUAAAGUUAAAAAAUUCAAGUAAGAAGACUCCACUUACUUUGAGUAAUAUCGAGAAUCACAAUAUUUGAGUCAUAAUUUCAGUCUUAAACAUUAUAUGUCAUUUAUCAAUUGGAUAAAUUGAUUCUUUUAAAAUUUUAUUGAUUUUCCACAUGUAUCACUUUUUAAUGAAACCUUUUAAUGCUAAACUACAUUGGGUAAUUUUUAAAAACCUCCUCUGAGGUUUGAGGCUGUUGCAAAUAGAUGGUGAAAAUCAUUUUAGUUGUCAAAGACCCCCUACCGUCAAUUAAAAUUUUCAUUGACUAACUGUUGACUUUGAAAAGAUAAUAUUACCCCCAAUAAUAGUUUAUAGACCGACACAACUAAAGUACAAGGGCUGAAACUUAUGAUGCGUAAACCACUGACUUUAUUUUUUUGACAUUUUCGCCCUUUACAAUUCCAAAUAUUUACAAUUUUAUAAGUAAUUAAAACAAUUAUUUUCACCAUGAUUAAGUUAUUGAUAUUUCCUUAAAAUCUUAAAAAAAAUAAAAUUACAAAUCUUAAAAUUUAUAAAAAAUAUGCUACUGUUUUUCUAUUAAAUUUUCUGCUGUUUCUCGCUAAAUUCGCUGUUAUUUUGUGUAUGGCGCUUGCCGGAAAACGGUCACGAUACAUUUUGAAUGGGUAAUGACGGGGAUUGAUAGUAAAAGUUUGUAUUUCUUAAAUUUUUUCCAUUUGACAACUCACUAAUUCAUGUGUAGGUCUAUUUAAAAUUUGUUCUUGUUUAUGGAGCUUGUUGGAAAAUGGUCAUGAUGCAUUUUGAAUGGGUAAUGAUGGGGAUGGGCAGUAAAAGUUGCUUGUGUUAUUUGAGCUUCCAGAAUCCAUUAAGAGUAGAGGGGAAGAAGAAAUGCAAAUUGUUUGUGUGUGUGCCGCUUGUGAGCCUUAAAUUAAUGUGCAAGCCAAUGGUCAUAUUGCAAAACAAUUAUAUAUAUUUUUUAAGUUUGUAAUUUUAUUUUUUUUAAGAUUUUAAGGAAAUAUCAAUAACUUGAUCAUGGUGAAAAUAAUUGUUUUAAUUACUUAUGAAAUUGUAAAUAUUUGGAAUUGUAAAGGGCAAAAAUGUAAAAAAAAUAAAGUCAGUGGUUUACGCAUCAUAAGUUUCAGCCCUUGUACUUUAGUUGUGUCGGUCUAUAAACUAUUAUUGGGGAUAAUAUUGUCUUUUCAAAGUCAACAGUUAGUCAAUGGAAAUUUUAACUGACGGUAGGGGGUCUUUUACAAAUAAAAUGAUUUUCGCCAUCUACUUGCAACAGCCUCAAACCUCAAGGGAGGUUUUUAAAAAUUACCCAAACUAGAUUACAUUGUUAAAUUUUAAUGCAGAGAAUUAGAAUAUCCUUUCAUAGUCAUAAUACCAAAAUGCAAAAAAGUAAGGUUCUCCAGCUUUUAGAUUUUUAUGUCUUUGCACAUCAUCAACCUACAAUAAAUAUUUUUUAUGUUGAGUGUCGUAUCAUUUUAUUUGACAAUUAUGAUAGUUCAAAUUUUCUAAAAAAUUCAAAUAUAGUUCAAAUUAAUUGUCAGAUUCUUAAAAAUUCUAAUACCUUUUCUUCUUGUCAGAGUUGAUAUCAUACUGAGUUAAGAUAAGAUUUAUUUUUUAAUAUAUAGUUAAAGUCAAUUUUGUAUUACUAUAAACGUAUAAUGGUAAAACAUAGGUGUUUUUUGUCCAUUUUGUAAAUCAAGGAGGUCUACAAUUUUUUUUUUGGUUGGGGGCGGGGAAUCUAGGAGGUUUAAUUUUAGAUUAUCCUCUGAAUUGAUAAUCUUUAAAAUAACUCUCAAAUUAUUAUAAAACUCAAUCUACGUCUUGUUUUUGUAAAGAAGACAAAAAAUUUCAUUAAUUCACCCAGUUUUUCUUUAUCUAUUGAAUAAAAAUAGGAUAAAUUAAAGUUUGCAAUAGCUUAGAGAGAAUCUUGAAAAUUGUCAUUUCAUGAGGGGAGUAAUCCGAAAUUUAUCCAUAUAGGUGUAAUGAAAGAACGAUAUAUAAUGCUUGCGUUUGAGUUAUUAAACAUAGGUGUUUUGUGUCCAUUUUGUAAAUCAAGGAGGUCUAAUUUUUUUUUGGGGGGGGGGGGAUCUAGGAGGUAUAUAAGAAGAUUUAAUCUUGGAUUAUCUAGUGAAUUGAUAAUCUUCAAAAUAACCCUCAAAUUAUUGUAAACCUCAAUCUACCUCUUGUUUUUGUAGAGUAGACAAAAAACUUCAUUAAUUUGCCCCAUUUUCUUUAUCUUUUGAAUAAAAAUGGAAUACGUUAAAGUUUGCAAUAGCUUAAAGAGUAUCUUCAAGAUUGUCAUUUAAUGAGGGGAGAAAUCCAAAAUUUAUCCAUAUAGGUGUAAUGAAAGAACGAUAUAUAAUGCUUGUGUUUGGAUUAUUAUUCUAGUGAAAACUCUCUAAAGUAAUACUCUCUAUAAAAAUAACUCUUAUAUAGUCAUAAAAAAUUAUGAUCCCAAUUUGGACUAAUUGUAAAUAGGAAUAAAUUUUAUAUUGUAAUAAGUUAUAAGUUUUAUAUAUUUUUUUUCUUAAAUAACUUGCCUCCACAUAAUAAUAAUAAUUUGUAUAUUGCAAAAAAGUAUACACAACAUUAAUGGCUUAAUAAGGGAUAAAUAUUUUUUAAAGUUACAAUAAUUUAUUUUUUAGAGUUGAUACCACGUCUUUGAACUUAAAGGUACAUAAUAAUAGGGGUGUUCAGAAUCCAAUCUGAUCCGCUCAAUCUGUCCGAUCCGCUCAAUCCGAUCCGUAUAAAUCCGAUGUGUGAUAUUUUGAAACUUAAAAUGUAUUAUUUUAGCUUUAUUUAAACAAUUAAUUUAUUUAAAUUUUAUUCAAUUUUAAAUUUAAUUGGUAGCAAAAUUAUUUUUAUAUUAGAUUUUUUUUAUUUCAUUAGUUGGAGAGAACUAAAAAAUUUUAAUUCGAAAACUAAUGCGCAAAAUGGUGGAUUAGAUAUGGAUUGAGUCAAAUCUGCAUCCGAUCCGCAGACGUAUGAAUUAGAUAUCGAUUGAGUCAAAUCCGCAUCCGAUCCACAGAUGUAUUGAUUGGAUUUUGAUUGAAUUUUAUCAAUCUGUGGAUUAGAUUAGAUUGAAAAUUAUAAUCCGCAAAAUCAUGGAUCGGAUAUGGAUUGAUGUCUAAUCCGUAAAAUCUGAUCCGCGAACACCCCUGCAUAAUAACUCAUUAAUAUGAACACCUUUUUGUUGAUGCCAAAGUAUUUCUAUCUUCUCAAGCAUGUUUAGAGAUUCAUUAAAUUGACAUGCUCCAUUAACUAAUCAUUAAUGUAUUUUCCUCUACAUUGCUCAGACUAAGGAUAAUCAAGUUAAAAAAAAAGAACUAAUUAUCUACAAAGUUUUAACUUCUUUAUAAUACAUAAUAAAAUUAGAUAGUUCUAACAAUAUGAUUAUAAAGAGAUCUUAUUGUAUAUUUUUUUUUCUCUCUCUUAAUUUUUUUUUUAAAGCAUUGACCCGUAGAAAUUUAAUUCAUAAUUAAAAGAUACUCUUUUCUUUUUCCUUUUUCUCUUAAACAAAAUUCAUUUCAUUUCAACGAAAUCAAAGAGUACACAAUUUACUUCUGCCGGAAAACCCACCAACCAAACUACAGUUUCAGUAUAUGUAAAAGCCAACUUCGCUAACAUAUAAGUUAUUAACUGUUUAGAGACUGAAAGAGCAUUGCACGUUUACACUUAUCCCCUCCCAAUUUUGAAUUUUAUAUCCGUUAUGAAUGUGACCUAAUCUAGACCAAAUGUGUUAAAUGGGCUUUUAUAAUUUGAAAUAGUACAUUCGAAUGAUGAAUUGACAACAUUAAAUAUUAGACAUUGUCAUUUUAUUUUAAAUAUUUAGAAAUUAUUCCUCGAUCACCUCGUAAAUUGUUUCUCUGUCACCUCGUAUUUAUAAAAAGUGUAAAUAUAAGCACGAAGAUUUUAUAAUAAUGUCUUUGCAGCACAUUACAUUACAUUUUGCUUUUAUAUGAAUGAGUUACUUUUUCAUUAAUCUCAUGUCAAUUAUUAUUAAUAUUAAUUUUAAAUUUUUAGUUAAAGUAAAGUUUCGAUAAUUAAAGGGUAGAAUAAUAAAAUACUAGUUUUCAUGUCCAUUUUUUGAUCAAGGAGUUCUACAAUAUAUUUGCAAAUCUUGGUGGUAUGAACGUAAUGAGAAAAAAAAUAUAGUUCGUGCAUGCUUCUUGUUAUUCUUAUUCAAUAACUACAGUUUAUGUACUUGAAAUUUUUCUUCUAAAAAAAAUGACAAGGACAAAAUCUUAUUCCAUAAAACUAUAUAUUUUUUGUCAUAAAUAGAACACUAUAUAGAACACUAUAUACAGCGGAUUCUUCGGAUUCUAGAUUUUUUGUUAUUAAAAUAUAAACUUUAUUGUAUUUCUUUAAAACGACCACAUGUUGUUUGUUAUAGAUAAUACUACAGCUCUAUCAAAUUUGUACAUCUUGUAGAAAGGUUUCAUUUUCCAAGUUGAAAAAUUUCAGAUGUACUCCCUGACAAUGAUAUUUGUAGCGAAAAAUACAACCAAAGUUGUUGAACGAGGAAGGAAAUGUGGACGAACAUCAGAUGUAGGAUCUGAAGAA
RNAcentral lists this long non-coding RNA (52630 nucleotides) under Citrus maxima (pomelo). RNAcentral's name for it is "long non-coding RNA (CMAX_LNC001725)". Lineage: Eukaryota; Viridiplantae; Streptophyta; Magnoliopsida; Sapindales; Rutaceae. The record is from RNAcentral.